Molecule: long non-coding RNA, 81633 nt
Filed under: Lactuca sativa (garden lettuce)
Lineage: Eukaryota; Viridiplantae; Streptophyta; Magnoliopsida; Asterales; Asteraceae
Source: RNAcentral
GUAAACGAAUUACCUGCUCAUAUAUUGUUUGAUUCUGGAGCCAACUACUCCUUUAUUUCGCAUGAGUUUGGUAGAAAGCUAGCUUUGCCUGUUGAUAGACUAGAUAAUGCUUUAUUAGUCGAAGUAGCUAGUGGAAAGUUUGUACCUGUUAGCCAUCGUAUGAAAAACAUCUUAAUCGAACUUAAUGGGAAUAAGUUUCACGAGGCGUUAUUGUCUAUCGAACUUAAUGGUUUCGACAUCGUCUUGGGAAUGGAUUGGCUUAGCGCCAAUGAUGCCGAAAUUUUAUGCAAGAAAAAGAUAGUUAAAGUAAAAUACCAUUCGAAUAUCCAAGGGUAUGCAGAUGGCAUAUAACUCGAUCACAAUCAAAUGCUCAAAAGUAAAAUACUCAUACCAAUAACGAUGCAGAAUCAAAACAAUAUAUAAUCAUGCACAAAUAAAGGAACUGAAAACAGAAAUCGCAUACCUGCAACGUCCGGUGCUGAUCGCGCCUCUAAGGUAGUCAUCUGAAAAGCUCUGCCUCCCACCGCAGGUCCCUCUGCACGGCCCUGACGGCCGUCUGUGAUCCUCAAAGUUGCAGGGGCAGGUGCCAUCACCCGUCCUGCUGAAAACAAAUUGGGGCACUGGGCCUUCUUGUGGCCCCGCUGAUUGCAGUGAAAACAUAUCAAGGCUGAUCCCUGAGUCAUGGUAACAGUGUAAUCCCUGCUGAAAUGACCAGUCCAACCGCACUUGAAGUAGUAAGACUCACCGCUGCUACCACUCCUGCACGCGCCCCCGUGAACCCUGCCACACUUCCCGCAUCGGCUGCGGUCCUGAUAAUCCCUCGAUCUCGAAUCCGAUCCUUUGGGCCUUUUGCCCGAACUCGCGGCUACCUGAACCUCAUCCGGCUUCCUCUUUCGGAUCUGCUCCAAAUCAAUUUCCCUCUCCCUGGCUCGUGAAAUCAUAUCUUCCAGCGUCUUAUAGUCGGACCUGCUCACGAACUCCCUGAUGUCAGCCCUCAACAUCUCGUGAUAUCAGGCCUUCUUCAUCUCCUCAUCCGCGACAUACUGCGGUACAAGAAGAGCCCUCUCCCUGAACUUGGCGGUGAUCUCUGCCACAGUCUCAGUGGUCUGUGUCAAAUCCUGAAACUCCCGUGCCAACUGCUGCACCUCAAUAAUCGGCAAAAACUCCGCCCUGAACCUGGCUGAGAAAUCGCUCCAAGUCAUCGCGUCCAACGCAACAUCAUCCCCCAAAGCAUGACCAAUCUCCUCCCACCAAUCCCUUGCUUUGUCCUUUAGAAGACAGGAAGCGAGUCUGACCUUGUCCCCCUCAGGACCCCGGCUCAUACGGAAUGCGUUGGCAACAUCAGCCAACCAUCUGCUGCUAGCAAUAGGGUCCCUAGCCCCAUGAUAAUCUGGUGCCCCGCAAGCCCUGAACUCCCGAAAUGUCAAGGUGCGCGCUCUCAUCUAGGCCAUCAUCUCAGCACGGAAGGCUCCUAGCCUCUCAUCCAAAAUCUCCAAUAUACCCUCCUUGACCGUGCCAAAGAUCAUAGGAGUCUGAUCUAGCAUACUGCGCGCAACCUCAGCGGAUAUCAACUCCCUCAUUCGCUCCUCGAGCUACUCAGCUCCUGAACCCGAGGCUGAUCCCUCUCCGGCGCCUGAUCCGCCCACUGGUCUUUCUCGCAACGUCACCAUGCUGAAACACAUAACACAACCACUAUCGGAAUACCCAUCACUGCUACGAGACCACACACACGCACUACCGGGUUCCCAGUCUUGUCUCGGCCUUUUCCAAAUCGAGUAUGGAUCCUCUGCUUUCAGUAGUACGGGCCCAUACUACCUUCCACAUCUAUCCAUACUUUCCUCAAGAAUUGCUUUUGACUCCACCAGGUCCCUCUUCCACUACCACUGCUCCCAGCACUAUCUCAUCCUAGGCUUACCCUAGGGAAACCUCUGACUCAAAUCAAACCAGUCCUCAGCUGCUGAAGGUCUCCUUGUGAUGCCAAUUAGCCAUCACCUGGAUACCAUCACCUGUGAUGAGGCUCAGAUAAUCCUUCAAGUAAAAGACUCGUCCCUACAACGGUUGGACUCAAACAAGAGCUGCGCAAUAGAACCAAAUCCAGCACUCUGAGAUUAUUCAACCCUGAUCACAUGUGACGUGUCAUAUCCACCUAAUGGCUAACUCCCAUCACUCAGAAUUCCACAAUGCACAAAGCAAGCAGCAUUCAGACAAUGGAAAAUCUAAAAAUAACAUACUCAAGCAAUCAUAUCCACAUAGCAAGAAACUGAACUAGCAUGCAGCACAAACUCAUAGACCCACACAAAUUCAUAAACUCAGGCAUAACCUAAACGGGCUAUCCUACUACUGACUAAUCAGUACUAUCGUGCAGCUCAAAAGCACAUAUAUAUAUAUAUAUANNNNNNNNNNNNNNNNNNNNNNNNNNNNNNNNNNNNNNNNNNNNNNNNNNNNNNNNNNNNNNNNNNNNNNNNNNNNNNNNNNNNNNNNNNNNNNNNNNNNNNNNNNNNNNNNNNNNNNNNNNNNNNNNNNNNNNNNNNNNNNNNNNNNNNNNNNNNNNNNNNNNNNNNNNNNNNNNNNNNNNNNNNNNNNNNNNNNNNNNNNNNNNNNNNNNNNNNNNNNNNNNNNNNNNNNNNNNNNNNNNNNNNNNNNNNNNNNNNNNNNNNNNNNNNNNNNNNNNNNNNNNNNNNNNNNNNNNNNNNNNNNNNNNNNNNNNNNNNNNNNNNNNNNNNNNNNNNNNNNNNNNNNNNNNNNNNNNNNNNNNNNNNNNNNNNNNNNNNNNNNNNNNNNNNNNNNNNNNNNNNNNNNNNNNNNNNNNNNNNNNNNNNNNNNNNUGUAACGUCCCAAAAUUCAAGACUAAAAAUUUCUUUUAAUAAAACGUUACUUUAAGCAAAUUCAUCAUUUCAAACAUAAACAGAGUUUUAGUUUCCAAAAUACAUGUUUGUUAUCAGAGUAAACAUUCCCAGGCUGUCUAAUCUAUGGUGUGUGCCAUGCGAUCACCCCGAUCUCUUCCCUUCGCUACCGAAAGUACCUGAAACCAAAACUGAAAACCGUAAGCACGAAGCUUAGUGAGUUCCUCACCAUACCACAUACCAAAGUAUAACCACAUGCUGCACAUACUGGGCCACGCCCACUAUCCUGGGCCUCGCCCGCUACAACGGCCCCGCCGCUCCAGGCCCUACCUGGCUUCGACCCCCGCUCGGUUACAGAUCUAUUUCACUUAGGCCUCGCCUGUCAUAGGGCCUCGCCCACUAACACAUAAUAGCACAUAAACAUAUCACAUCACAUCACAUAAGCUAAACACCCACUAACGGAUCUUAUCCUAAGGCCUCGCCUAUCUUUGGGUCCCGCCCAUGUCCUGCUACUGAUGAGUCAUGGAACCCCAUCCAUACUCCUACUGAUGGUGAGGUAUGGGCCCAGCCCACCCUCACUUCAUCCCUAACUUGGGCCUCGCCCCUGAUCUGCUGCUACUGAGAUGUGGAACACCAUCCACACCCUGCUAUUGGUGAGAUACGGGACCUCGCCUACACUCACCUCCCUACCAGACACAUACGAGUAUCACACAGACAACAAGUAUAAACUAUCACAUAAACCAUUCCUUGGGCACCUGCCCUCUAUCGUUGGACCUUGUCCCGAAUAUCACACUAGCAUACAGUACCUAGGGCUAACCCCCGGGUUUUCUACUCAUAACUACAUGGGCCGGCAUUCUGGCCGUAGACCCAUUCAUAAAAAGGGAAACUCACCUGCACCGGCUGAACUGGCUGAUGAACCCACUAGCUGCUGCACGACAACUCUCUGAACUCCUGCUCCACUCACUCAUUGAGCUACCAAUAUCAAUGCAACACUAAGUCUAACUGACCCCCGAAAGACUACCAAGUCAUCUCUGGUCAAAGUCAAAGUCCUGGUCAAAGUUAACCUUCCAAGUCAACCCUACUCGCCGAGUCACCCCAGUGACUCACCGAGUUCAGAUGUUCAGAGUUCUUCUCUUUGCGACUCGACUCGCCGAGUCAGUCCAUGACUCACCGAGCCUACCGAUUUCUAAGUCCUGACCUGUCCAACUCACCGAGUCUCCAAUCGACUCACUGAUUCGAGUCUAAACUUGAAGGGUUUGGGGUUUCGCAACCAGACUCGCCGAGUCCNUUCGCGACCUAACUCGCCGAGUCCAAGAACAGACUCGUCGAUUCUAAGACAACCUUCAACAGACUCGCCGAGUUGUUCUUCCAACUCGCCGAGUUCCUGCCCAUCUUCAUCUGACUCGACGAGCUGUUCGUCCCACUCAUCGAGUUCCUCCAAAUCUUCAUGCUACUCGCCUAGUUCACUAAAAAGGACUCGCCGUGUCCAUUCAAAUCUCCAUACAUGCAGAGGACUUUUGAGUCAUGCAUGGACUCUAAACUAUAGAUCUACCCUUCCCAAGCCUAUUCCUCACGUAAAGUUGCAAACUUUAUGUGUAGAGAAGGAGAUCUAGGCAAAAUACACCAUAAACUAGGGUUUAAGGCAAAGAGGCUCCAUAAUCAACUCAAGAGCUGAAACUUUAUGCUUUCCAAGACCAAAAUACACUUAGAUCUGAAGUAGCAACUCCAAAUCCGGCUUCUAACUCAAAUGGAUCACUACUCAUGGCUAAAAGCCCCAAAACUCACAACCAAAAUAGAUCUAAAGGAAGGGAAACGACUUAAUACCUUCAGAUGUUCAUAAAUAUCUUCCCAACCUCAGAUCUCUAGCCCUCUCCUUUCACCUUCAAGAUCCUUCUUCCUUCUCCAAGCUUAAAUGCACUCCUCAAGACAAUAAUUAGCUCAAAAACGGAUAUGGCGGGGGGGGGGUGGUGGUGUGGGGNUAGAGGGGCUGUAAAGGAACCCUAGGGGAGAGAAUGAGGUGCUUAAAUAGGCCCCAAGUCCCGAAUUUAGGGUUUUCCUCGAACAGACCUGACUCGCCGAGUCUCUUUGGCCGACUCGUCGAGUCGGUCACUUACUCCUCGACCCGGAUCCCGGUUGGACUCGCCGAGUUCCUCCUUGGACUCGCCGAGUCCCCCUUAAAGUUAGGGUUUUCUUUCCUUUCUUGGUCUUCAAAACUUUGGGUGUUACAGAUUAAAGCUCAAAAAUUCAUAAGAAAAGGUUGUGAGUCAUUUUGGCAUAUGUUCUUGAUACAAGAAAAGAAAAGAAGAAAUUAGAAGAUAUUGAUGUUGUACAAGAAUUCCCUGAAGUUUUUCUAGAUGAUUUACCUGGCUUGCCACCUGAAAGGCAAGUCGAGUUCUGCAUCGAUUUAGUACCAAGUGCUACCCUAAUUGCUCGAUCUCCAUAUCGUUUCGCUCCUUUAGAGAUGUGAGAGUUGAUGUCUAAACUCCAAGAACUACUUGACAAAGGUUUUAUUGUUCCAAGUUCCUCCCCAUGUAACACCCCGAGAUUCAGGUGCAUUUCUUUCACCCUUAUUCUUUAUCGAUUGGUCAUGAUUAGUCCUUGAGUGGAGGGAAUAUAGCAAGUGAGUACGCUGGGCGUACCAGAGGGGUACACUGCGCGUACUCAUGUGCUUAAUUUGGACGCGGAGUCGCCAAUGUACGUUGGGCGUACCCAGAGUUACGCCGGGCGUACCCGGCCCAGGUGCAAAAACCCUAAUCCGUCUUGUGCACUAUUUAAAGGGUGCUAAGGCUCAUUUCUCAGCCUCCAUAUCAUUGAGUGAAACCCUAAGAGAGAGCCUCCCAUCGUCCUUAGUGUGUGAGAGUGUUGUUGGAGCUAAUUGUGCCUUGGUGGCUUAGUGAAGAAGAAGGAAAGGAGCUCUUGGAAGCUAAAGCUUAAGGUGCCAUUUUGGAUAUGAGAUCUACAGAGGAAAGGGCUACACUUGGAGGUAUAAAGUUCAAAUCUUUCCUCUCUCUUUUGGUUGUUGUUGCAUGUGCCAUUUCUAGGGCUAAAAACCCCAAAGGUGGAGACUUUAUGAGUGUAAAGUGCUCCAUGGUCCGAGAUCUGUCCCUUUUCAGUGGUAUUAGUGAUUUAGAACCAUAAAGUUUCCAUCUUGGAUGUUAGUUUGAGGUCAUGCUUGUGUAAUAAGCCUUCUAGAGUUAAAGGAUGGAACAUUAUGGGAGUUGGUGGCUUGUCCAGCCCUGCAAAGGCUUAAAGUCAUCAACUUUAUGGAUUAAGAGGCUUAGAGGUGGUCAGAUCUUGAAUUUGGACGUGGGUCUUAACUGUUUAAGACCUCAAGAGCUAAAGGGUUGAAGUUGGGGAGUACGCCGGGCGUAAUCCCAAUACGCGCCGCGUACUGGGUGGCGUUCCCCGAUUAUGAGAUGCAGCCGGGUACGCUCAGUGUACACAUCUGGUACGCGCAGCAUAACCCGAAAUGUUGACUUUUGGUUGACUUUUAGGGUAUGGUCUAUUGUGGGGCCUUUUGAGUUAUGAGAGGGGUAAAAUGGUCUUUUACCCUUAUGAGAGUGUCAUAAGAGGACAUAGUCUAGCCUUUGAGAGUUAUAUUAAAUAAAGUAUUGAUUUUAUAUGAUUAGGCGGAGGCUAGGCCAGCGUUUACCGAGUCAGAGAUUUACCGAGAUACCAGAGGUGAGUCUUCUCACUAUACUUUACCUAGUGAGGUAACAGAGUUAUGUGACAGAGUACUAUAGAGUUAUAUGCCAGUGACUUUGCAUGUUACUUAUGUGUUGUGAUUUAUUAUGAUAUGUGAUAUGCAUGAUUCAGAGUUAUAGAGUUGGGACUUUCGGGUCCCUAGAGUUAGGGCCAGAGGGCCCACAGAUAGUUGGGGCUGGAGGGCCCCACUGAGACACAUUGACCAGAGGGUCGACAGAGUUACAACCUCGAGUGACUAUUAUGUGUUAGAGUGGUAUUUUGGGGAACUCACUAAGCUUAUGCUUACAGUGUUACGUGUUAUGUGUUUCAGGUACCAGUGAUGACCGUGGGAAGGCACCGGCUUGAUUCGUACACACACACACAUGGGAUUUUAUGUAUUUUGAUCUUGGGAGAUAUUUUGUGAAACAAAGACAUGAUACUAUGACAUUUUAUGAAUGAAUGAGUUUGUAAAAAUGUGUUUGAAAAUGCGAAAAAUUGUUUUGAUUUUUACGGUGUUACACCCCAUGGGGUGCACCGAUAUUAUUUGUCAAAAAGAAAGACGAAUCAAUGUGAAUGUGUAUUGACUAUCGUGAACUUAAUAAAGUCAUCAUACCAAGGAUUGAUAACUUGUUUGACCAAUUGCAAGGAGUAGAUUAUUUUCCAAAGAUUGAUUUUUGCUUCGGAUACCACCAAGUUCGUGUAAGAGAAAGUGAUGCUGCAAAAAUGGCAUUUCGAACCCGUUAUGGUCACUAUGAAUUUUUGGUGAUGCCUUUCGGUCUUAAAAAUGCUCAUGCGGUGUUUAUGGAUCUUAUGAAUCGAGUCUGCAAAUCAUUCCUUGAUAAAUCGGUCAUCGUGUUUAUCGAUGAUAUUCUAAUCUAUUCCAAGACAAAAGAAGAUCAUAAAAAGCAUCUCCAUUAUAUAUUAUAGGUAUUGCAAGAUGACAAAUUAUAUGCUAAAUUUUCAAAAUGUGAAUUUUGGUUAUGUGAAGUCAAUUUGUUAGGCAUAUAAUAUCUCAUGCUGGAAUAAUGGUAGACCCCACAAAAAUCGAUGCAGUGAUGAAAUGGGAGCCUCCAAAGAUCCCUACUGAAGUUCGAAGUUUUCUUGGUCUAGCUGGAUAUUAUCGUCGUUUUAUUCAAUAUUUUUCUCGUAUUGCGGUACCUCUUACCAAAUUGAUGAGAAAAGAAACAAAAUUUGUUUGGGGGUCCUGAACAGGAAAAAGUAUUCUCGAUUUUAAAGAAAAAGUUAUGUGAAGCAUAAAUUCUUGCACUGCCUGAUGGAACAGAAGACUUUGUUGUGUAUAGUGACGCUUAAACAAAAGGUCUCGGUUAUGUCUUGAUGCAACGAAAGAAAGUUAUUGCAUAUGCCUCCCGACAGUUGAAAGAAGCUGAAACGAGAUAUACAACCAAUGACCUAGAACUAGCGGCUAUUGUUUUUACGCUAAAGAUAUGGAGUCAUUACCUGUAUGGUACGCAUUGCAAGUUAUACAUUGAUCAUAAAAGUAUUUAGUAUGUUUUUACCCAGAAAGAUUUGAAUAUGAGGCAAAGACGGUGGGUUGAACUAAUUAACGAUUAUGAUUGUUAAAUAAUCUAUCAUGCCAACAAGGCGAAUGUAGUUGCAGAUGCAUUAAGACGGAAAAUACCUGAAGUCCGUAUUAAAGGAAGGUCCAUGAGAAUAGAGUUGAUAUCUACUCUAUUGGAUCAAAUCAAAAUGGAUCAGAUAGAAGCAAUGAAAACUGAAAAUAUUAAACAAGAAAAGCUGCAAAAAAAAAGAUAGUAUUUGGAGAAAAUGAAUGAGGCUCAAAGACAUUUGAAGACCGAAUUUGGGUUCCCGUGUUUGGGGACACUUCGAAAAAUGGUAAUAGAAGAAACAGAUAAAUCUAAGUCCUCCAUUUAUCCUGGGAGUACAAAGACUUACAGAGAGUUGAAAUAGAUGUAUUGGUGGCCUAAUAUGAAGCCAAACGUGGCCAAAUAUAUAUCAGAAUGUUCAACAUGUGCUCAAGUCAAAUUUGAGCAUCAGGCCUCGUAUGGAUAGUUAUAAUCUCUUCAAAUACCAGCUGGAAAAUGGGAUAAAAUCACUAUGGAUUUCAUCAUGGGGCUACCAAGGACUAGUCAGGGACAUGAUGUCAAUUGGGUUAUUAUUGACUGCUUGACAAAAAUUGUGUUGUUUUUAGCAAUAAGGGAAACAACUCCUUCAGAGAAACUAGUGAAGUUGUAUGUCGACGAAGUUGUAAGACUUCAUGAGUUCCUUUGACAAUUGUAUCAGACAGAGAUGCCAUAUUUACUUCUAAAUUUUGGCGAGCUUUACAAAAAGAACUGGGAACAAAAAUCCACCUAAGUACAACAUAUCAUCCUCAAACUGACGGUCAAAGUGAACGCACAAUUCAGAAUGUUGAAGACAUGUUGCGAGCAUGUGUUAUCGAUUUUAACAAGUGGAACGAGCAUCUUCCACUAGUGGAGUCCACCUAUAAUAAUAGCUACCAUUUGAGCAUUAAAAUGCCCCCAUAUGCGGCAUUGUAUGGGAGAAAAUGUAGAACACCUUUGUGUUGGCUCGAAGCAGGCGAGAGAAAGCUUAUAGGUCCAGAAUUGGUAAGAAUUACCAAUGAUAAAAUCGUUCAAACGCACAUGAAAGCGGCUCAAGACCGACAAAGAAGUUAUUCAAAUUUAAAGAAAAGGCCAUUUGACAUGAAUCCUGGUGAUUUAUUAAUGUUGAAAAUAUCACCAUGGAAAGGCGUAAUGCGUUUUGGAAAAAAGGGUAAAUUGAGUCUAAGGUACAUCGGACCAUUCAAAAUAUUGAAAAAGGUCGGGUCUCAAGCUUUUAAACAAGAAUUACCACCAGAGCUUAAUGGAAUACAUGAUGUAUUUCAUGUAUGUUACUUGAAAAAGUAUCUUGGAAGGAACAAUAAAAUUAUACCAUUGAAAGAUGGGAAAAUGGAAUAUCCUAAUCGAUUGGUAGAAGCGAUAGUUGGAUCCCAAAUCAGAAAAUUAAGAUAUUAGGAAAUUGAACUUGUGUUAGUUCAAUGGAAGCAUUCCUUAGGUCCAAAUCAAACGUGGGAGAUGAAAGAUGAAAUAAUGAAGCGUUAUCCUCAUUCAAACGAAGGUUCUGAUACCAACUUGUAACAUCCAUAAAAUUCAUAAAAAUUAACUUUUUCAAGCAUCCAAAAACCAUUAUUUAUUAUAAAAAGUUUUCAAAAUUAUUUCAUAUAAGAGAAUCUCAGGAAUCAAAAUCAUAAAAUACGAGGAGGUACACUAUAAUGAGCGUAAAAUAAAUAAAGAACUCAAAUUAUGUGUUUCAACAUGUAUUUUGUUUAAAUAUAUGUGAACUCGAGAAGUGAAAUAGUAACAUUUUUUAUAACACAAUAUGCAUAUCGAUGUACAUAUUGCAUCAUAACUAAAAAUGUAGAAUACUUCAGUAUGGAGGUCAUUAUAUGAAAGUAGUUGACUUAAUAUGAAUUUGUGGAUACAAAAUAAUCGAAAUCCGAAUUCCUACAAUAAAUCUAUGGAGAAUUUUUAAACUUAAGGAUAUGAUGUGUCUAUUUGAGAAGAGACAAGGGACCACUAAUAUAAUAUGGAGGAUAUGUUAUGUCAAUAGCAUAGGAGGUGAAGGAUAAAACUUGUAAAUAUGGAUCAAAUAACUUGUGAAUGCGUAACGUCAUGAACAGGUGGAUGGUAAACUCUUAUUUGAUACAUCACACAUGUUGGUAAAUUAGGAAGUUAAGUAUCUAGUGAAACUGCCAAAUAUCCACGUGCAGGUGCAGCCGAUAACUUUUUUUCUUUUUGUUCUAGCUCGUCAAUUUCGUUUCGUUUUUUUUUUUUUUUUUUAUGUAACAAAGAAAUAGAGAGAGGCAGAUAGUACAGACAGUAAACACUCCAUUUCCUACUUCAAAUUGAAAAAAGGAAUACAGUCAAGAUUUAUUGUUUUCUACUUACGCUAAAGGUAUUUAAACGUAUUUUUAUUUAUUUGAUAUUAUUUAAUGGAUUUUUGAGUUUCAUAAGAAGCUUAGAAUCUUAUAACCAACUGCAUGUUAAAAAAAUAUAUAAAUAAAUAUACAUUUGCAUAUUCAUCGAUUAAAUUAUUAAACAUGUCUAAGUUUAAAUAAACAUGUUUAAUAUAAAUUGGUGGAUUUGAUCUUUUUCGUCAAACGUGAAUAUUGAAAGUUUGGAAAUAGGAUGCGACAUAUUAUUUUGGAAUUUAUCUAGAUUUUUGACUAAUACAAUUCAAUAUUAUAUUGACAUACAUAAGAAUAAUCAAGAUUUAAUUAGAGGAAUUCUAAAGUGCUAGUUAGAAGCAUAAUCGUUUAUGCACAAGGAUUAUAAGUUGUUGAAUUAUUGCAAUGGAUUAAUUUAUUAGGAUUGAAGGAAAGGAUUGCUCAACAACGUGAUAAUAAAAAUAAAAGUUAAUCAACCUAGAUUUCUUUAAGGUGAGUUAUAAAACCUUGUAAAGUAGGAAUACAUGGCUUGUAUGUUGUGCUUAAUGAAAUAAGUGCUUAUUAAAUCUGUUGGCACUUAGAAUGUACUGUUCAAUUGAUUAUAUAGUUGUAUUGUGUUGUUACAUAAAUAUUAAGUAACACAAGAAAAGAUAAAGAGAAAAGAUAUUGCAAGCUUGCCAAGGGUUCUUAUGGACUAAGACGAGACCAAUUUGGAUGAUUUGUUCUCCAGUAUGGAUAACCGUGAAUUAUUGACGGGACCAUAAUAUGGAUAGCCGUAAAUUAUUGGCGGGGCCAUAAUAUGGAUAAUCGUAGUUAUUGAUGAGACUAUAUUUCGGUCGUUAUGAUUUAUAGUAAUUUAAUUAUUGCAUUAAAUUAUAACUCACCAGACAUGUUGUUUGAUAAUUGUUAUGUUCCAUAUGUUCCAGGUUCAGGUACAAAACCUUAGUACGAGUGAUGAUAGUGACAACAAGAGUAUGGAUUGGAUAUAGAUUUUGCACCUAGUAAUCUUGUUGCUUUAAUUAUGGUUUUGAUAUAGUUGUACACCCACUAAUUUUCUUGGAAAAAUGUUAUAUGGUUUUUGGAAACUUUGGUUUAUAAAUGAUAUUAUAUAAUACUCUGAUAAAUUUCCAUAAAAUAACAUUAUAAUAUAUGCAAAAAGUUUUGGGUGUUACAUGCACAAUAAAGCCUUCGCCUUUCUACGAUUAUCCGAAGUACCUGAAACAAAAUCCAAAACUGUAAGCCUAAAGCUUAGUGAGUUCCUCCAAAAUACCGAUACAUAACAAAUAGCACACAUAAUAACAUGUAAUGGGUCCACAGUUUCAUAGACUGGAUUAACCACGAGCCCAAAGUAUAAGUCUAGCUUUCCUUACAGGCCUACAGCUCACAUCUGGCUUGCACCCAAGCCCACAACUUAUGAUUGGCUUGUCCCUUCAGUCAUAAGACUGGAAUAUAAAUGAUCGGCCCUUAGUGCGAGUCUGGCAUGCUCCUAUGGCCCUCAGCUUGCAUUUGGAAUGCUUAGAAGUCCUCAAUAUGAGUUUGGCAUGCUCUCCCUGACCCUCAACUCAUAUCUGGCAUACUCCAGGGUUUGUUGGUUACCGCAUGAAGCAGUACAACCUCAACCCUACCCACACAACAUGCCGACAUGUAAUAGUUAAAUACAUAUACAGCUAAUCACACAGUACCACAGGUAGUCCUACAGAUCUACCAAACUAGCAUAUCAAACUAGCAUGCAUAUCUAAAUCAUACUCAGCAUAUCAACAACUACCAGGAUAUCAAUCCAGUGGGUUGGCCUUGGUGCCUUUGACCUCUAAGUAUAAUGAGGGAAACUCACCUCACAAGUAGUGCUGAACCGAUCAAAUCCCAACUCACAGCUCCAAACUCAAUUGCCUGUAACCACCAUAUGACUAAUUCCAUUAAAAUCCCAAAUUACCGAAAUACCCUCAGAAGCCAAACUUUGUCAACCAUGGUCAAAGUCAAAGUCAACAGUCAAGGUCAACAACCCAUGUUGACCCAACUUGUUGAGUGCAUCUACCGACUCGUCGAGUGCAUCUACCGACUCGUCGAGUUCCUUCAUAUCUCAGAAGAUCGUGAAGAGAUCGAGAUAACUUGCCGAGUUGCCAGAGCAACUCGUUGAGUUCUUUAGUGUCCGGAAACCGAGGAAAAACUCAACCAACUCGUCGAGUCAUCCCAUCAACUCAUCGAGCUCAAUCAGUAUCCAGAAAGCGGGAAACCCUAUCCAACUCGUCGAUUUGGCUAAGCAACUUGUCGUGUUUUCCUGUCUUAAUGUAUUCAGCCCUUUCCAGUCGAAUCAAAGGCCCCAAACUACAGAUCUAGCCCCUUAGGACUAAGAUACCACGUAAAGUUGCUAACUUUACAUGCAUGCAAGGCAUCAAAGGGAUUAAAUCACUCAUAUGAAGCUUAUUAUGGGUUUUAGAGUAUGAAGGAGGGCCAAUACUUAAUAAAGUUGGCAACUUUAAGUCUAAGGAGGCCCUAAGAUGCUCAGAUCUGAAGUCCUAGCUUCAAAGCAUGCUGAAAAACCAAGAAUGAUUCAAGAAUAAGCUAGAAAUUACCAUAAACUCUCUAAUGGAGAGAUCUAACAAAGGAGUGAUCAAGAUGGCGACUUUUUACCUCCAAAUGGUUGCAAAAACAGUGAAGCUUCUGGAUCUAAAGCCUUCUACACAAUCCAAUCUCUUCAAGCUUCUAGUUUCCUCUAAAAGAGCACAAGAUUUACUCUCCAAAGCUCACACACACUCAAGAAAGUAAUAAAGCACGACUAGGGUUUCUCUCUAGACAAUAAGGUGGUGAGGGAGGCCGGUGAGGGACUUAAGGUCCUUUAAAUAGGGCGCCAACCCUAAAAUUUAGGGUUUUCAUGCACAGCCUCAACUCGUUGAGUUAGGAUCCUCUAACUUGUUGAGUAGGUUUCGUAAUCCAUGCGGCCUUAUUAAUUUCUACACGACGAGGUAGGGCCUCCAACUCGUCGAGUAGGUCAUAUGUGAUGUACAAAAAUUCUUAAAAUUCAUGCCUGGGAGUUAGGAUGUCACAAUUUUCCCCCACUUGAACUAGACACCGUCCUCGAAGUCGGCUGUGGUGAACAACUCUAGAUAAUGCUUCCGCAUCUCAGUCUCCGGCUCCCAAGUCCACUUGAAUCCCCUCCGAUACUCCCAUUGUACCUUUAUCAAAGGUAUCUCCUUGUUACACAGAAGCUUCACCUUUUUUGUAGAACGGCCACUGGCCUCUCCACGUAAUUCUGGCACUCAUCGACCUGAAUAUCAUGCAAUGAUGCAACUAUAUCCUCAUCCAAUAUGCACUUUCACAAUUGCAAGACAUAAAAAUUGUUGUGAAUCUGACUGAGCUCCUUUGCAAGAUCCAGUCUAUAUGCUACCUUGCCAACCCUAGAAAUAAUCUGAAAGGGUCCAAUGUAUCAGGGACCCAACUUCCCCUUCUUCCUGAAGCGAAUCACAUCCUUCCAGGGUGAGACCAUCAGUAGUAUCAUGUCACCCACCUGAAACUCCAAUUCAGACCGGUGUCGGUCGGCAUAACUCUUCUGCUGACUUUGAGCAGUCUGCAAUCACUUCCUGAUCUGCAAAAUCAUCUCGAUAGUCUGAAGAACCACCUCGGUCCGACCCAUCACCAUCUGACCAACUUCACCUCAACAGACUGGGGUACGACAUCUCCGUCCAUACAACAGCUUAAAAGGCGGAGCACCAAUGCUAGAAUGAAAGUUGUUGUUGUAGGAGAACUAUGCAAUAGGUAGGUAGGAGUCCCAGCUCCUACCAAAGUCAAUAACGUAGGCCCGCAACAUAUCCUCGAGGGUCUGUAUGGUCCGCUCACUCUGGUCGUCUGUCUGCGGAUGAUAAGCUUUACUGAAAUGCAGUCGAGUGCCAUGUUCCUCGUGGAACUUCUGCCAGAAACGAGAGGUGAAUCGAACCUCACAGUCUGAAACAAUAGAGACUGGAACCCCAUGGCGAGAAAUGAUCUCGUGAAUACACACAUCGGCCACCAUCUCGGCCGAUGAUCUCUCCCGAAUGGGCAGAAAAUAGGCACUCUUGGUCAAUCUAUCCACGAUGACCCAAAUAGCGUCGAAACCCUUUGUCGUACUCGACAAUUUGGUGAUGAAGUCCAUCGUGAUAUGUUCCUAUUUCCACAUGGGGAUCUCUAGAGUCUGCAACUUGCCAUGUGGCCUCUGAUGCUCAACCUUGACCAUCCUACAGGUCAAGCACCUCUCGACGUACCACGCGAUCUCCCUCUUCAUACACAGCCACCAGUAACUCAGUCGCAGAUCUUAGUACAUCUUGGUGGCCCCUAAGUGAAUAGAGAAGCAAGACUUAUGAGCCUCCUCCAGUAUAAUCUGUCUGACCCCACCAGACAUCGGAACCCAUACCCGAUCACAGCGGGUCAACAAUCCCUGACUAUCCUGCAUGAAUCUGUUGUUCUCGCCCCUAAUCCUCUCCAACUUCUAAUUCUCCUGUCGUACACCCUCGACCUGAUCUCCCUUGAUCAAGCUCACAAGUGGAGAAUCCUUUGAUAUCCUCAUACAUGUCGCUGAAAUAGAACAUCCAUCCGACUUAGCUCAGGGCAUCCGCCACAAUAUUUGCUUUACCCAGUCGGUAAAGUAUCUCGCAUUCAUAAUCCUUGACUAAGUCCAGCUGCCUGUGCUGCCUCAUGUUCAGGUUCGGAUGAUCCAUGAUAUGUCUCAAACUCUUAUGGUCUGUGUAUAUGGUACAACGGACCCCGUAGAGAUAAUGUCUCCAAAUCAUGGGAGCGAAUACCACCGCUCCCAACUCUAGAUCGUGUGUGGGAUAUCUCAUCUCAUGCGACUUCAGCUAUCGUAAAGCAUAGGCUAUCACCCGUCCGCCCUGCAUGAGGACUGCUCCUAAUUUGGUGAUCGAUGCAUCACAGAACACCACAAAAUCCUCAACUCCCUCAGGGAGUGUCAAAACUGGCGCCUCGGAAAGUCGCUGUCGCAAGGUCUCAAAUACAGUUUGCUGCUCAGGGCCCCAGCAGAAAUCCACCGCUUCCUCGUCAUACGCCAAAUAACCCGCACACGUGUGCUAAAUGUACUGACGAGCCCCGGUGGCUGAGCAAAACCCUGAACCCAACCUGGUGCCCUCACCAUAUAUAACCAACUCUCCCCCACUUAGGGUUCAAACUACCACACGCUGACCCUCGCAUUCGAUCAUGACACCGCAGCGAAUCAGCUAGUCCAUACCCACUUUCACACAAACUUCCUGCACGGGAAUCGAAAUCAAGUCAAUCAGAAAGGAAACCCCGAAGAUCUCCAGUUCGCAACUGCAAUAGACUGAAGACACAGAAUUCCCAUGUUUAUUGGCGAUGGAGACUCGUAAUGGACACUCUAGCUCUCCUAAAGGCAAACCGAACUCCCUACUAAACGAUCAAGAGACGAAUGACCGACUCGCCCCCGAGUCAAAAAAUACCAAAGCAUGAAAGGAGUUCACUAUGAAUGUACCUAACAUAGGUACAACAUAUAUGAGCAUUAAAUAAACAUAAUCAAUAAGAUAAGGGAUAGGAACAUACUGGCCACCACAUCUGGUGCUGUCCUGGCCUCCUCGGCAGUGAGCUAGAACGCAUGUCCCUAAGCCAUUGGGGGCUCUGCUCUACCCUGGAUCUCGUUAGUGACCUCAAUGUAGCUGGUGUGGGAUCCUAUGUCGGCUUAGCGGCGAGCACCGGACAGUUCGUCUUCACAUGGCCAACCUGAUCACAAUGGUAGCAUAUCCUCAUACUCGGAAUCGGGUCGGAACCGAGGAGGACUGACGACAGUCCCUCACAUAAUGCCCAUCCAUGCCAUAUUUGUGGCACCCGCUACCAGAUCGACAAACCCUAGAAUGAGCCUUCCCGUACUUCCCAUAAGUGCGGUCACGCUGACCUCCAGACCUGGAAUCAGCGGUCUUGGACCACUUCGGUGUCGGCUACGACUGCGUUGUGGCCUACCUCUGCUCUCUCAAUUGUAGCUCAAUCUCAAGCUGAAGCCGCCUAGAGGCCUCCUGUAGCUCCAGUAAUGUAUCACAAUGCUGGGUAGCAACAAACUGUCUGAUUUCGGUCUUGAGCAUGCUUAGAUAACAUGUCAUCUGAACCUGCUCGGAAGCAAACUUCGGGCAAAACACCACCCUAUCAGUAAACAUACAGGUGAUCUCCGUCACCGACUCAAAUCCCUGUCUCAAAUCAAAAACUCCUAUGCCAGCCGCUCUCGCUCAACCCGAAGAAUGUAGCAAGUUCAGAACAUCUCCCUAAGCUGAUCCCAAGUAACCAUAACUCUCUGCUCAUCAGAAUACGACCCCGCCAUCAAUCUCCACCAAUCCUUCGCUUCGCACCUCAGCAUGUUCAGAGCACACCUGACCUUAUGGUAAGUAGGAAAUGAGCAUGUGAAAAAGCAUCCCUUAAUGUCAGAUAGCCACCUCAUGGCUAUGAUUAGGUCCUGAAUCCCAUCGAAAGUCGGGACUUCGUGUUAUCGAAAUCUCGGUACUGAAAAGCCCGAACUGGCCCCAUACCUGCAGCUGCUACGGCUGCAGAGGCUGCAGUGGCGUCCGUCUCAGUUAUGACUGCAUAGUGUUCAUCAAAGUACUCGACCAUGGUGGUCUUGAUAGACCCAAACAUCUCCAAUAACUGUGCCUAGAAUAGUACAACAAUCUCAUCGUGCAGGAUCUCCUAAAUCCUAGCAUCCAACUCCUCCGGUCUCAUCUGACCAGUUGUCCCUGUCACUGCUGUUGGCCUGCCCUGACUGCCAGCUCCUGAUCCUGAUCUGGAUCUGAUCUCAAAUCGCGUCGUAGUCACCAUUCUGAAAUUACGCCUGAAAUAUAUUAGAUACUCCAUAUAUUAAUAGGGAACGAACUCCUAACUAAACCCUAAGGGUUGUGGCUUCCUUGCUACACGUAUGGGUCUUGUGCUUUCAGUAGUACGGGCCCAUACUACCUUCCACACCUACCCAUAUUUGUCUCAAGGAUCAUCACAACAUCGUAACAGUGUACAUAAGCAUAGGCGAGCGCUCAAUCCUCACUCCUAGAGGAAGGCUAAAUAUCUCACAACUGGCCGACUGACCCCACACGACUGAUCCAUGAAACUUCCACCAAACCUGCAGCACUCGUGUAUGCUAGCAUUACAUAACGUUGGACCCCAUAGACAUUUGAAUAUCUAAUCCUACCCUAAGAUCUUCAUCAAACAAGUACAUGAAAUAAGGCCAAACCGAACAUUCUCAGCCUAUAAGGUCUUAGUUAUGUACACUAUGAUGUAUACUGUAACAUCCGGAUAUCCAGGUAUGGGAAUUUGAGUAAUUUAUAUUGGGGAAUGAGGAGACUCGGCAAGUUGACGCCUCAACUCGUCGAGUAGGAUCGCGUUUUGGCGACCAGUUUAAUGAAGGGACUCGACGAGUCGAGUAUAUGGACUCGCCGAGUCGGCGCUGUCAAGGAAAACCCUAAUUGUUCGGGUUUGGGACCCAUUUAAAGGCCCUUAUGGCCUUCAGUGGCAGCCACCUACACCUUUGAGAGACUCCUAUCGAACCAGAGAGCUGAGAGAGUGAAGAAGAGCCAUUUUAGAGCAUUCUUGAGGUGGUUGUGAAAUGGAGUACUCAUUUCCAGCAAAGGGAGGUCAGGGGGUGUNUCAUUUCCAGCAAAGGGAGGUCAAGGGGGUGUCGAUUCAGAGCUUCUGAGCUUGCAUCUUCACCAUAGAGGUAUCAAAUCGUUCUCCCUUUUCUGUUUUGGGUAAGAUUGGUGAUUUUAGGGUUUUCUAGCUUCUUUUAUGGCUUGAUUUGUGGAGUAUAGUGUCCCAUUGAGUGUGAAGCCAUAGAUCUGGACCCAAAGAGGUCCAGAGAGUCCCUUCCAUCCUGCUUUAUGCAUUCUAUUUGGAGUUUUGAGCUAGGGUUGUUAUGUAAUGAAGGGUUUCACCCAAAUGAGCUUGUAGAACCUUGCAUGAGUGCCCAAGGUUCGACCUUUUCGUGGUUAUUGGCUUUGAGGGAGUUAGAUCUAUGGUUUGGUGAAGCAGAUCUGACCUCAGAAGGUCAGAUGAGGGUUGUCAUGGGAGCAACUCGCCGAGUCCAUAGGCAAACUCGACGAGUCGAGUCGGGGUUGCCCCGCGUUUCGUUGCCGAGUAACUCGACGAGUGGAGAGGGAACUCGUCGUGUCUAAGAGGUUUAAAAAGGAUUUAGAGAACCCGCAUGGACUCGCCGAGUCACUCUUGUGUACUCGCCGAGUCUGGUCAGUGUUGACCGUUGACUUGAGUUGUCUUAUGUUGGCUUUGGGAGUUUUGGUCAACAGAGGUAAUAGAGGUCAGGGAGGGGUAAAAUGGUCUUUUACCCAUUACCUGACUAGAGAGGGAAAGAGUAAUCGCCGGUUAAUUAGAGUUGGGAAUUCAAGUAUUAAUUAGAGAUAUUUUCCUUAUGUGUUAAGCGGUGGCGAGUCCGAGGUUCGCAUGUGCAAAUAAUUGCUUUCUGAUUGCCAGGUGAGUUUUCUCACUAUACUUUACCUUGAGUAGGUAACCAGAGUUAUGUGACAGAGUAUUUGUAUGCUAUGUAUGUUAUGUGUUGUACUGCAUUAUUUCUAUGUGAUUUAUGUUGUGCAUGUUUACAGAGUUAGAACCGGAAGGUUCCCAGAGUUAGAACCGGAAGGUUCACAGAGUUAGAACCGGAAGGUUCACAGAGUAGGGUCCACGGACCCACAGAGUUAUAGCCUCGAGUGGCUAAUAUGUGUUAUGUGUGGUAUUUUGGGGAACUCACUAAGCUUCGUGCUUAUAGUGUUUUGUGUUAUGUGUUUCAGGUUUCUCUCAGGAUCAUGGGACGGCACCGGCUCGAUUGUACACACCAGAGAAAGAGUCAUGUUUUGAGGAUCCUAGUUUAUUAUGCAAGUGAAAAUGGAGUCAUGUUUUGUAAUUUGAUUAUGAAUGGGAUUUCAAGAAAAGUAUUUUUUUUAAGAAUCAAACGAUUAUUUUUAAAUGAAAAUUGUUUUGAAAUUUACGGUGUUACAAGUUGGUAUCAGAGCCUUGGUUUGAGGGAUUCAGAUGCACCUUCGGGUAAAUCUGGACUCAAACUGAGGAUUUAAGACAAUUUUUCAAAAAGAAAUGUCUUUUUAUAAAGCGAAUAAGAGUUUCAAAGAGCAAGCAAAAAGAGCAGUGUGUACAAUCAGCUAGAGCCGGAACGGUGAUUUCCCAAAACACCCUUAUUUGGUGUUAUGAGAUAUUUGUGAUACAUUUUAUGAGAUAUUAUGCAUGCUAGAGACAGGCUAGGCAAUUCAUAUUUUAGGACUAGAGUGGCCUGAUUUGUGAUGCCUUAGCCUAGGGGUGCUGUUAUAUGUGAUGUGCUGAGCGAGAGUGUCCAGCAGGAAAUUUUUUAGGGGAUUCGAGUAGGGGAGUAAUAUGAAAGAGGUAUCUAUAUGAGCAUAUGAGGAGCUUGCCGAGAGGGUAGCCAGAUGCCCAUGUGGGGCGGAGUUGUUAGAGUUCAGUGAUAUCCAUCACGUAUGAGGAAAGCGAGUGGAUAAUAACCUAAGGAGGUUUUUUUGUGCUGAAGGGGAUGCUUCAAUGCCCGAAUGUUGUUUGCUUCGUGCUUUGUGGAGCUCUCAAUGAUGGGAGUCAGCUACUAAGUGAAUAUGACGAUAUUCAGGAGGUAGAUGGCUGGCAUCAUUAGGAGUUCUUCAGCAGCUGAUGGCAUAGAAGUGUGGGAAUCUAGGAAGAGCCUAGGGAGUAACCUUAGCCAGAUGAGUGCGCUGGCAGAGUAGAGAAUUUCAUUAGGGAGCGAGCACACACGACGGGAUUGGUGAACAAAAAGGUCGAGUAGCUACUUAGGAGCUCCGGAAUAGUCUGUGUGGAAAGUAUGGGUAGAUGUGGCAGGUAGUAUGGGCCCGUACUACUGAAAGCAGAUGACCUAUACUUGAUACAGGGAGUAUUCUGAAGGUUCUAAGGAGUGGAUUGAGGAGUUAUGUUAUGGUUCGAGUACCAUACAUCGGAGCGGAUCGAUGAGUGAUGUUAUGGUUCGAGUAUCAUACAUCGGAGCGGAUUGAGGAGUUAUGUUAUGGUUCGAGUACCAUACAUCGGAGCAGAUUGAGGAGUGAUGUUAUGGUUUGAGUACCAUACGUCGGAGCGGAUGGAAGAGUGAUGUUAUGGUUCGAGUAACAUACAUCGGAGUAGAUGGAUGAGUGAUGCUAUGGUUUGGGUACCAUACACCGGAGCAUAUUGAGAAAAUAUGUCAUGGAAUGAGUACCAUGGUUCGUAGUGAAUGAUGCUUGUGGUUCUCCGGUUAUCCGGUCAUGAUUGAUGAGGUAGAGAUUGGACGCUAUGGGUUUUAGGCCUGUGGGCCAUGAUUGAGUUCGAAGAGGCGUCCCUUGAGAGGGAGGUCGAGAGCCUUUCAGAGUAUUUUGGUAAGGAGUCAGAGGGAGGGGAGAAUUUCGGUCUGAGUUGAGCAAUCAGUCGAUAGAGGAGAUGUCACCUCCUAUGACCUGGGUGGUGCUAUUUAUGUUCGUGUGCAAAACAUGAGAGGCAUGAUGUUUAAGUUUUGGGUUUGGGGGUAAACCCUGCAGGUUGUCAUUGAUGAUGAUUUUCCACCAAAGUAUCAGGUAGCAUGUGUGCCGCGAGACAGUGAUUUAUCAUGAGCAGAUAGUCAGUUGGGACUGAGAUAGUCGAGGACCACGUUACACCUAUUUGAGUAUAUUAGGGCGUAUUGUAGUGGUAUCAGUGGGGAGUCCAGUCGAGUUUAUCAGUGCAGUGGUUUUUCUAUCUAUGUUGGGUAUUGAAUAUGGGAGUGGGUCCUUGUUCUUGGGAUGAUGCAUGUGUUGGAACGUUGGUUAAUGAGUCGAGGCGGGGGAGUUUGAUGAUUUCGUGGUUCAGUGUAUGAGUCAGUGAUGUUAUUGGUCAGUUGAGUUGUUUGGUAUUGGAUUGGUACGAGACUAGGAACGACUAGAGGCAGUCGUGACGAGAAGUUAUUGAGGAUUUCAUCUGAGGUUCAGAGUAUAUGAGAUCGAUUGAUUUCCUUAAAGGGGAUUAUCGGGCGUUACGUAGCACUUUCCAGGGGCAGGUGCGAUUUUGCUGGUAAAAAUAGUUUGUGGGAUGGUUGUGUGCCAAUUGGUGAUGGUUCGAACCCUGAGUGGGGGAUAACCGGGUACCGUAUAGAAGAAAGCAGAGAUUUGUCACGAGCGGUUAUAAAGGGGGUAUAGAGAUCUGUGGUAAGAAUUCAUGAGACCAGAGUUAUUGGUGAUCGAGGAAAGGGUCAGAGUAAGCUAAUACAGGAAGUACUUGUUUGAGAAGGAUGAAUGUCUCCACGGCAGGUGGUCAUUGGUCAGGAACCUGGUAGUGGUCAGGGUCGUUGCAAGUAGGUAAAGAAUGAUUGAGCAGCCAACUCCAGGGUCGGUAUGCAUAUUCUUGCUUGGAUUUUGAGCGGCAGGAAAAAGGGUUUCUGAGAAUUAUCAGUGUAUUCCAUAGCGUUAGCGUUUUCUCGUGUUCCGGUUGAGUAUUUGGAUACAUCGAAGUUACGCAUUGGGAAAAUUUAAGAUUUAAUUAUGGGGUUCAGAGGAAAUGUAUUAUUGUAUCUAUAUGAUGCUUGGGGCAGGAGAUCAGUGGUUGUGGUAGGAUCUUGUGAUGUUCUGUUGGGGUGUUCCGAGGUAUCCGGGUAUGAUAUCUUGAUUUCGGAGUUAUUCGAGAAUCUUGAGUUGAGACGACUUGUGGUGUAUCAAGUAUCUAUGGUUCCAGUGGGAGCCUUGGGAGUUGUCAUUAGGAAGGAUUAUUUAAGAAUGUGAAUUUUCUAAAGAAAGAGGUAUUUUAUUAUGACAAUUGUCGUCAUAAUUUAUGAUGCAUAAUUGGGGCAAGUGUGCGUAGAUAUCUAUGAUAGUCCGCGGAGCAUGAGCUAGUGGACAUAGUGUGGUGUGGUAUGAGAAUUAGAUUAUGGGGUAAUGGGAGAGAGUGUUGUGAUGCUACGGGGAGCCGUAGUAUUCACUAGUCAGAGAGUGUUGUGAUGCUACGGGGAGCCGUAGUAUUCACUAGUCAGAGAGUGUUGUGAUGCUACGGGGAGCCGUAGUAUUCACUAGUCAGAGAGUGUUGUGAUGCUAUGGGGAGCAGUAGUAUUCACUAGUUAGAGGAUGUUGUGAUGCUACGGGGAGCUGUAGUAUUCACUGGUUAGAGGGUGUUGUGAUGCUACGGGGAGCCGUAGUACUCGCUGGUCAGAAGCUUUUGGUGAUGUUGAGGAGCCGUAGUAUUCUAGGCGGCAAGAGAGUGUGAUGAUGAAGUGUUCUCCGAUCAGAGUAUGACGCAGAGGAGUUUUAGGCUCGAGUAGCCUAGUAUCGAGUUGUUGGAGCUUGGUGGUUAGGCGAGGGGCGAGACGGGGGUCUCCUUCUCUCUCGGGAAUUAUUAUAUUUUGAGUUGAGUUGAGCUGUGUUUGUCGCAACAUGAGGAAAUUGGGAAAUGGUAUUCGUGCGGGGCGUAGGGUGAGUCAUGAGACCAAUGUUUUAUUGGGACGCGAGGUUUCAACUUUGGGUCGGACCCAAAACUCUCGAGUUGAGUUUGGAUUUGAUAGUAGGAGGAUAUCGAGAUGAGAUUCUAGACUUCUGAGGUAAAUUCUCGGAUGGGAGGUAUUGUUAUCGUCGGAUAUUUUUAUCUGUAUAGGUCAGUACUCGGGUGCAAGAGAUAUCGCGAGAUGCACAGGAGAUGUGUGCAGCUAACAUCCGAGGUCGGGGUUGAGUUGAUCUUUGGUUGGGUUGCAGUCCUUGUAUGAGUUAAUGAGAAUUUCAUGACUGGUGUGCCAUUAGGCUGACAUAGUUGAUGCGAGGAGGAAUUCGGUGAGACAUUUUGGAUCAGGAUUAUGGGUAACCAUGGAGGUUUAAUUUUUUAGGCUGAGGUCAGACCUCGUGUGGUGUUAAAAGAGAUAUGGAAUUUAGAGCGAAGGUGUCACACCCCAAAACCAAGAACGGUGGAAACGUUCCGGGGUGGAGGACGUCAUGUACAGUAUCACAACAGUGUAAAAUAGUAAACAAGCAACAACAUCAUCCAUUGCAUUAUAAGUAAAGUUUUAAUACAUGUGUGUUCUUUCAUUGUAAUAAGACACCAAAAAUAUACAAUCAAAAUAAAAGACGAGACUUGUCUGCUCCGUCUUCUCAAAACCCGGCCUUCGUACCUGUCUACUGAUGACCUGAGAAUACAAGUUAUUUUGAAAGAGAGUAUCAGCUUUAAAGCUGGUGAAUUCAUAAGUAUUUAAGUGUCAUUGUCUUUCUUACUAAAAGCUGUUUUUAAAAGUCAUGUAAACCUUUAAAAGAAAAUGUUGAUGUAAGUAUGAAAAGCCCUAGAAAAACCCUUAUUUUCUAUCAGUGUGAGAUGUAGUCUUCUACCAAGACCCGAAUGUUUUGUUAUGAUAAUGUAGUCUUCUACCAAGACCCGAAUGUUUUGUUCUGAUGAUGUAGUCUUCUACCAAGACCCGAAUGUUUUGUAAGUGAAAUGAUAGUUUUUCCUUUCUAUUGACUAGUACUAAAGUACUUAGUCUAACUCAUCGUUUAUGUGAAAAUAUCACAAAAUAAAGUAAACAGGAAAAAGCAUAAUCAUGUAAGUGUUAUCCCUGGGUGACCAGGAUUAACACGACAUCGCCGAAGCGAAAGGUAUACCCUAUGAACAUCCGAAGAUUGUCCCCUCACCCUCUGUAGCGGCAGCAGGGUGGAGGGAGGGUUAGUCCCAUAACAGCGUUAACCUAAUGAUCAUCCGAAGAUUUUCAUCUCAUCCUCUGUUGUAACAGGAGAUGGAGGAAUGGUUAGUUCCGUAAUUGACUCCUAAUAUCAGAAACAACCCUAGACAUCCGUAGAUGUUCAUUACCCAGUGUUGCUAACAGCUGGGUGCCGGAAUGGUUAGUCCCGUAUAGACAUCCCAUUGAACUGGGAUAGGCAGGAAAAAUUUACAUAGAAGGUACGAAUAAAUCUUCCAAAUAACUCUAGGUACAAGUAUCCAGGUAAGUGAAUACAGGAUAAUGUAUCUAAGUAACAGUAUUCAUGUAUGGUAUUCAUGUAAGCAUAUUCACAUAAAUGUAGUUAUGUAAACGUACUCAUGUAUCAUGUAAUCCUAGGUAAUUGUACUCAUGUAUCAUGUAAGGUACUGGUAUAGACUCAUGAAUGAACUGACUCUUGUGUGAUUCCUUGUAAUAGGAAUAAUGUUCUGUUUCAUCUAACUAUCCCUAUGAUAAUUAAAUGGAAAGUAAUUGAUUGUCCAAGUAGAUUAAUGCACCCUCGAUACACCAGGGUGUGGGAAACUGAACGAAGGAUGGAAACUAUAACAUCAAUACAUAUAUAAGAACAUAUGCGUAUAAGUGUAGUUUUGCUCAAGAAGGUAAAAAUAAUGGUUUUGCAAGAUAUCUAGGAGUUUUGAACAAUAAUUAAGAGUGACUUGAUGUCAUUUUAAUAAACAUUUCAAAACUAAUGCUUUUGUUAUCAAAGUAUUUUAAGAUAGAAAACCAUUUUACGCAUCACAUUUUGUAGUAUGUGAAAUCUGCUGAAUAAAAAGACGGUUAUAAAAUACAUAAGAGUGAUUUUAUAACAUGCUGUUUUCUACUUGUAUUCCCCCCCCCCCNNNNNNNNNNNNNNNNUUUAAAAUCAUUUAAAACAUUGAUUAAGGGGUAUGAACUCACCUGUAGUUGGUGGUUUAGAUGAACUGGACGGUGUAGGAUUGCUAGGUGUCAAGUGAGGACUUGUACACACACUACGAUCCUAAUGAACAUAUAAUCACACAUAUAUGCAUUCAAUUAGUCUUAAAUCACUAAUUGAUAAUGGUAAGACAUCCUAGACACAAUAAACACUUUAUAUAAGUGUUUUAAGCCCUAAGGAUUGCAUCUAAGCUAUUGUGGGACAAGGCACUUGUGUUUAGAGUUCCAAAGGACCCCUUAUAUGUGUUUACUCUUCAAAUACCAACACACAUGGAGUUUACGGUUGUAAAAUCUUGAUUUUACGGCCGUAAACUCCCAACCAUGGGGGUAUUGUGUGUUUUGAAGUUCCAAAUGAUUCCUAGAAUUANCUCUUGAGUUUACGGCCGUAAACUCCCAACCAUGGGUGUAUUGUGUGUUUUGAAGUUCCAAAUGAUUCCUAGAAUUAUUCCAACUUGGUGGUUCAAUUCUUGAAAGGGUUUAAGGCCUAGAAACACUCCUUAGAGGAGUUUACGGCCCCAAGGCCAUUUCCUUUGGAGUUUACGGCCGUAAAAUCCCUUGGAAUGGUGUUUUUGUUGUUUUCAAGUCUCUUGCAUAUGAAGGAUAGGUUCUAGACUUUUACCUAAAGCAUAUGAAGGCAUUUGGCACACUUUGGUGCCCUUCUUUCAUGUUUACGGCCCAAGAACCAUGUCUUGGCCAUAAACUCACUUUGGAAGGUGAUUUGGAUGUGUUUUGGUCCUUGUUUUAAGUGGGAACAAUUCCUAGUAAAUGUCCAAUGCCUUAGGUGCCUUAAGAGCACCAUUUUGAGCUUGAUUUUGGAGUUUACGGCCUAAGAUAUUCUUGGGCCGUGAACUCCCAAACAUGGGUGGUUCUUGCUUGGUUUUAUGUCCCUAACACACUCCUAUACAAGUCCAAGGCAAUAGUAUAUCACGGGGGACAAUCUAGGCUUUGUUUCGGGAGUUCCGCCCAAGCNAGUUUACCGCCCAAGAACACCUUGGGGAGUAAACUCCUAAAUCUAGUGAUUUAGCCUUCUAAAUCAUGUUAUAAACACAUAUAAAGCUUUCUAACACUACUAGAAAGAGUUACUCACGUUUUGGUAUAAAAACCCGAAGAUCCGUGAGAGAGAAAAUGGCUUUUCUCUAGUUGGAAAUGCGAAUAAUGAAUGAAUUUGGUUUAGAAUUCUAUUUAUAGUCCUGAGAUAUUUUUGGCAGAAAAUUAUUUUUAUUCCAGAAAUGAUUUCUCAUACAACAGAGUGUUGGAAUAACAGUGUUGCACUAAACCCUAGUGCACCCACUCUCCUGAUAUUUCCUGAAAUGCAAACCCUGAAUUACUCAAACUUACACGAAAAGUCUGAAAAUUAACUGUGACUGCUAUAACUUCUAUUGAAGUGAUAUAGUUUGUACAUAAUGGAAAUUUCGGGUUGUCACAGAAGGCUUAUGAAUGAGAUGUUGAGGACACUUCUGAGCAAGCAUGGUUAUGCUUUUGUGUCUGAGGGCAGAGUGUCGGGAUUUUUGGUUCGAAUGGUUUCUGAUAGCUGUUUUAGAAGAUGUGCCCCGAUGGAUUGUGAACCCUUUUAUUCGCAGGGGUGAGGUUCAUCAGUUAUGGCAUGAUCAAUUUGGAGGAGAGAUAGUCGGUUGUUGGAUAUGGUCGUAUGAGAAUCAGAAAACCAGUGAGAAAACAGGGUUGUUAUUCGAGGAGCAAUUAUCAUGAUGAUCGCUCGAGUAGACGGUCUGGAGGCCGUUCAGGCCACUAGAGUUUCCGGUUAUUGGGAAGGCGUAUUUCUAGCGGCGAAAGUGUUGGUUCAAACUUUGUUUUGGAGGUUCCAUGUGAUUUUGGAUGUCUCUACAGAAAGAUAUCCAGGCGGUAUGAGGAUCUUUUUCGGUGGUGCCUUUCGGGUUAAUGAUUUAAGUUUUGGGUGGUUCAGGAGUGAUUUCGGGGACAAAAUCUAAUUCAAGUGGGGGAGAAUUGUAACAUCCGGAUAUCCAGGUAUGGGAAUUUGAGUAAUUUNGUCUGAUUCUAGUGGGGGAGAAUUGUAACAUCCGGAUAUCCAGGUAUGGGAAUUUGAGUAUUUUAUAUUGGGGAAUGAGGAGACUCAGCGAGUUGACGCCUCAACUCGUCGAGUAGGAUCGUGUUUUGGGGACUAGUUUAAUGAAGGGACUCGACGAGUCGGGUAUUUGGACUCGCCGAGUCGGCGCUGUCAAGUAAAACCCUAAUUGUCCGGGUUUGGGACCUAUUUAAAGGCCCUUAUGGCCUUCAGUGUCGGCCACCUACACCUUUGAGAGACUCCUAUCGAACCAGAGAGCUGAGAGAGUGAAGAAGAGCCAUUUUGAAGCAUUCUUGAGGUGGUUGUGCAAUGGAGUAGUCAUUUCCAGCAAAGGGAGGUUAGGGGGUGUCGAUUCAGAGCUUCUGAGCUUGCAUCUUCACCAAAUAGGUAUCAAAUCGUUCUCCCUUUUCUGUUUUGGGUAAGAUUGGUGAUUUUAGGGUUUUCUAGCUUCUUUUAUGGCUUGAUUUGUGGAGUAUAGUGUCCCAUUGAGUGUGAAGCCAUAGAUCUGGACCCAAAGAGGUCCAGAGAGUCCCUUCCAUCCUGCUUUAUGCAUUCUAUUUGGAGUUUUGAGCUAGGGUUGUUAUGUAAUGAAGGGUUUCACCCAAAUGAGCUUGUAGAACCUUGCAUGAGUGCCCAAGGUUCGACCUUUUUGUGGUUAUUGGCUUUGAGGGAGUUAGAUCUAUGGUUUGGUGAAGCAGAUCUGACCUCAUAAGGUCAGAUGAGGGUUGUCAUGGGAGCAACUCGCCGAGUCCAUAGGCAAACUCGAUGAGUCGAGUCGGGGUUGCCCCGCGAUUCGUUGCCGAGUAACUCGACGAGUGGAGAGGGAACUCGUCAUGUCUAAGAGGUUUAAAAAGGAUUUAGAGAACCUGCAAGGACUCGCCGAGUCACUCUUGUGUACUCGCCGAGUCUGGUCAUUGUUGACCAUUGAUUUGAGUUGUCUAAUGUUGACUUUGGGAGUUUUGGUCAACAGGGGUAAUAGAGGUCAGGGAGGGGUAAAAUGGUCUUUUACCCAUGACCUGACUAGAGAAGGAAAGAGUAAUCGCCGGUUAAUUAGAGUUGGGACUUCAAGUAUUAAUUAGAGAUAUUUGCCUUAUGUGUUAGGCGGUGGCGAGUCCGAGGUUCGCAUGUGCAGAUAAUUGCUUUCUGAUUGCCAGGUGAGUUUUCUCACUAUACUUUACCUUGAGUAGGUAACCAAAGUUAUGUGAUACAGUAUUUGUAGGCUAUGUAUGUUAUGUGUUGUACUACAUUAUUUCUAUGUGAUUUAUGAUGUGCAUGUUUACAGAGUUAGAACCGGAAGGUUCACAGAGUUAGAACCGGAAGGUUCACAGAGUUAGAACCGGAAGGUUCAUAGAGUAGGGUCCACGGACCCACAGAGUUAUAGCCUCGAGUGGCUAAUAUGUGUUAUGUGUGGUAUUUUGGGGAACUCACUAAGCUUCGUGCUUAUAGUGUUUUGUGUUAUGUGUUUCAGGUUUCUAUCAGGAUCACGGGACGGCACCGGCUCGAUAGUACACACCAGAGAAAGAGUCAUGUUUUGAGGAUCUUGGUUUAUUAUGCAAUUGAAAAUGGAGUCAUGUUUUGUAAUUUGAUUAUGAACGGGAUUUUAAGAAAAGUAUUUUUUUUAAGAAUCAAACGAUUACUUUUAAAUGAAAAUUGUUUUGAAAUUUACGGUGUUACACAUACACUAAGGAACUACAGUAAUGAUGUCAAUUUCAUAUAAGAAAACCGUAGGCUAUUAGGCAUCAUAUAAUCAGGCAAUUGUAUCAUGCAAUCCCUAAAGAUCCUUAGCCUAUCACUAGCAUGUUGUUCUAACAUAUCACAAUAUCAAAUAACCAUAUGGUAUUUUGGGGUCUACUUACUGGCUCCGACUGGUCGUACACUCUGCAUCCUCCUUUAGUAUUUUGAAAACCAUUUAAAAUCAUUUUGAAAAUCUUUUCCUUAGUUUGAGACUGGAUUCACAUGAGUGUUCCUCCAAUUCACUCAAAUCAAGGCUCUGAUACAUUAUUUAUUACAAAAUGUUUUCAAAAUUGUUUCAUAACAGAGAAUCCCAGAAAUCAAAAUCAUAAAAUGUGACGAGGUGCACGAUCAAGCCUUUGCCUUCCCGCGAUCAUCCGAAGUACCUGAAACAAAAUUCAAAACUGUAAGACUGAAGCUUAGUGAGUUCCCCCAAAAUACCAAUACAUAACAAAUAACACACAUAAUAACAACAUGUAAUGGGUCCAUAGCUUCACAAACUGGAUUACCCCCCCCCCCCUCGAGCCCACAGUAUGAGUCUGACUUGCCUUACAGGCCCACAGCUCACAUCUGGCUUGCUCCCGAGCCCACACCAUAAGGUUGGUUUGCUCUCGAGCCCACAACCUAUGACUGGCUUUCCCCUUCAGUCCUAAGACUGGAAUAUAAAUGAUCAACCCUCAGUGUGGGUCUGGCAUGCUCGCCUGGCCCUCAGCUCGCAUCUGGAAUGCUUAGUAGUCCUCGGUAUAAGUCUGGCAUGCUCUCCCUGGCCUUUGGCUCAUAUCUAGCUUAAUCCAGGGUUUGUUGGUUACCGCAUGGAACAGUACAACCUCAACCCUAACCACACAACAUGUCGACAUGUAACAGCUAAAUACAUAUACAGAUAAUCAGACAGUAUCACAGGUAGUUCUACAGAUAUACCAGACUAGCAUAUCAAAAUAGCAUGCAUAUCUGAAGUCCUAGCUUCAAAGCAUGCUCAAAACCAAGAAUGAAUCAAGAAUAAGCUAGAAAUGACCAUAAACUCUCUAAUGGAGAGAUUUAACAAAGGAGUUAUCAAGAUGGCGACUUUUUACCUCCAAAUGGUUGCAAAAACAGUGAAGCUCUCGGAUCUAAGGCCUUCAACGCAAUCUAACCUCUUCAAGCUUCUAGUUUCCUCCAAAAGAACACAAGAUUUACUCUCUAAAGCUCACACACACUCAAGAAAGUAAUAAACCACGGCUAGGGUUUCUCUCUGGAUAAUAAGGUGGUGAGGGAGGCCAGUGAGGGGAUUUAAGGUCCUUUAAAUAGGGUGCGAACCCUAAAAAUUAGGGUUUUCAUGCACAACCUAAACCCGUCGAGUUUGGAUCCUCCAACUCGUCGAGUAGGUUCCAUAAUCCACACAACCUUAUUAAUUUCUACACGAUGAGUUGGGGCCUCCAACUCGUCGAGUAGGUCAUAUGUGAUGUACAAAAAUUCUUAAAAUUCAUACAUGGGAGUCGGGAUGUUAGAUCGUUGAGGGAAAUUCAAGGGCUUAACCGGUGGGUUUUUUGGUGUAUUGGAUGGUGGAUCACAUGGGACGUCAUUACUGUUCCGGGUACGGUUUGAAGCAUUCGCCAAAGCAUGGGUACAUAAGGUUGUAUAGGGUCUGAUAGGCGUGUUUAGUUGGCGAGAGGUUUGGUAGAGAUCAAGGUGAAGUUGAAACAACUUUAAGGUGUUUGGUUUUAGUGACUCGAGAAGUUUGGUCGGAUACGGGUCGACAAUCCAAAGGGUUUCGAGUUUGGUGUAAAAGUUUGGCUUUCAAUUUUGACUUGGUUUACAUGUUAAGGUGGAGAUUGUAGUAAAAUGUCGCUUUAAAACUAUUUUUAGGUUCUAAUAUAUCAAUAAAGCUAUAGUGUAGGGGCCAUUAGUUUAAAUAGCAUAAAUGAUCGCUAUUAUCUUCAUUUAGAUAAGACGUACAUAAAAGUUUUUUUGUGUUCAUUCUCUGUAUCACGCAUACAUACACACACAUUUCAAGAACAUAUAAUCUUUGAUCAUUCUUCGUUUAUUUCUUCUACAAUUUCUUUUUAAUUAUCGUUUUAUGCUUCCNNNNNNNNNNNNNNNNNNNNNNNNNNNNNNNNNNNNNNNNNNNNNNNNNNNNNNNNNNNNNNNNNNNNNNNNNNNNNNNNNNNNNNNNNNNNNNNNNNNNNNNNNNNNNNNNNNNNNNNNNNNNNNNNNNNNNNNNNNNNNNNNNNNNNNNNNNNNNNNNNNNNNNNNNNNNNNNNNNNNNNNNNNNNNNNNNNNNNNNNNNNNNNNNNNNNNNNNNNNNNNNNNNNNNNNNNNNNNNNNNNNNNNNNNNNNNNNNNNNNNNNNNNNNNNNNNNNNNNNNNNNNNNNNNNNNNNNNNNNNNNNNNNNNNNNNNNNNNNNNNNNNNNNNNNNNNNNNNNNNNNNNNNNNAUAUAUAUAUAUAUAUAGAGAGAGAGAGAGAGAGAGAGAGAGAGAGACCUAUAACUUAAGAAUCAAUAUAUAGACCAACUUAGUACUUUCUAAGAUAUCUUUCUCAAUGACUUCGAUGUGCUUUUUUUAUAAUCCAAUUCUCCAUUACAUUUACAAUCAUAGAAAAACUAGAUCUUUUUACAUUUGUAAACACUUAUGUUCAUUACAAUCGACAUCAACGGUCGUCAUUGCAGCUGAGUCCCUUGUUAGACGAUCUGCAAAUUAUAUGUCAUCACUAUGGUCCUUUGAUCAAGUUCAAUCGCUCUCUAGCAAAUACAUAGUAAGAUUCCCAUUUUCUUUUAUAUUAUGGUUGGUAGUAUGUCACAUUCAAGAAUUUAACCGAUACAGGGAGAAGAGUACACAGCAAGAGCACAUACUUUAAAGGAAGUUGUGAAAACGUUAAUAUACAAUGUGGGAAAUCCAUUGGGAACUCUGGAGCUGGUUGAUGAGUUGCAGAGACUCAGGAUAUCAUAUCAUUUUGAGGAUGAAAUAAGUGAGGUGUUGGAGAUGAUUUACUACAAUUACUACAAAACUCACAACAAGUGGAAUAGCAUGGAUUUGAACGUUAAAGCACUUGGCUUUCGACUACUAAGACAACAUGGUUAUCAGGUUCCCCAAGGUAAAUUUAAUAAAUGAUCUAUAUUCGUAGAGAAUUGAAUGAUUCAUAUUCGUAGAGAUUUGAAAGAUUUCAUUUGUGAUCCCGAUGCAUGCGGUUUAGUUUAUAUUAAAACAAAUAUUAAAAGUUUUUUUUUUCUUGAUUUUGCUUUUAUAUUUAGAGAUAUUUCUCAACUUUAAGGACAAGACUCAAAAUCUAAACCCACAAUUACUCGAGGAUAUGGUGGCAACGCUAAACUUGUACGAAGCUUCUUAUCAUUCAUUCGAGGAUGAAAGCAUAUUGGACGAUGUCAGAGACUUCACAACCAAAUAUCUCCAAGAAAAUUUAGAGAAAUUUGAUGGAAAUAUAUCAUCGUUAAUAACACAUGCGUUGGAGCUUCCGUUGCAUUGGAGAGUACCAAGGGUAGAGACGAAAUGGUUUAUGGAAGAAUAUGAGAAAAGAAGUGGCAUAAAUCCCACAUUGAUAGAGCUUGCAAAACUGGAUUUUAACAUGGUCCAGGCUAUCCACAUCGAGGAUUUAAAACACUCCUCAAGGUAUCAUAUGGGUAUAUAUAAAUUACAUUAUCUUGACUUGUUAUGCACUACAAAAUAAAGUAUCAUGAUAUAUAGCUAUUGUGUACCCCAUGAAUAUAAGGUGGUGGAGAAAUAUAAGUUGGGAUAAGAAGUUGAGCUUUACUCGAGAUCGGUUGGUGGAGAACUUUUUGUGGACUGUUGGUGUUAGUUACCUGCCUCGCUUUAGCAAUGGAAGGAGAACCUUAACUAAGGUUAAUGCCAUAAUUACUACUAUCGAUGAUGUCUAUGAUGUAUUUGGUACUUUGGAUGAAGUUGAACAAUUUACAGAUGUCAUCAGCAGGUAAAUGCUAUUAUAUAUAUNUAUAUAUAUAUAUAUAUAUAUAUAUAUAGACUCUUACGAUACUUCAGUACGUUACAUGCUUAAUUGGUUGUUUAUUAACUACUGUAUAUUUGCACAAAUUUAAUGAGAACUAAAGAAAUUUUCUUUCAUAGAUGGGACCUCCAUGCGAUAGGAGAACUUCCGGAUUAUAUGAAGAUAUGUUUCCUUGGAUUCUAUAACUCGAUAAAUGAGAUUGCAUAUAACACCUUGACAAACACAGGAUUCUUAAUCCUUAAACACCUAAAGAAAGCAGUAAGUAAUCCUUCUUCUUCGUAACAAUAUUAUGUUGAUCAGUUAAUUACUAAGGGCAUAACACCAUGAAUACCUUUUCAAAUUAUAUUACGAAAUUGAUCACCGAUUAUGUGUAUAAAAGAGUUGUAAAUUUACAAGAUUAUCUUUUAGUGAACUCGGACAUCACAUUUUAUAAUUAAUAUUUAAUUUUUUCCGGAAUAAGAUAUUAAUUAUAUCAACAAAAUGUCAUUUUCACAUACUAAAACAUUAGAAGCUACAUAUCAUUUUCCUAACCAAAAAUAUUACCAAAAAUAGAUUUUGUUUUCUUGAGAACACAAAUAUGACACGCUUCUUUUUGAAUAAAAAAUGAUAAAUGGAUUUGUCCUUCUGGAAAAGGAAAGAUGACCACAUUUUUAUUAUUUUUUUAAAUCCAAAUAGCAAUAAAGAAUUAAAGAUUCUUUGUCGGGAAAUGAAUAGGACACCACCCCGUUUCAAAAAAAAAGAGGACACCACCCUCUGUCACCUGUUCUUUAUUUCCUUUAUUUUUUUAUUUUUAUAUUUUUUUAAUGCCAAUUUAGGGGUAUUUGGCUUAGUUUUUUAGAAGGCAAAAGUCAUUUUUGAAAAAAUUGCAAAAAAUCAGGUUUUUUUGACUUUUUCAAAAAGUUAAUUUUCCUUUUAUCCAAAAUCCAAAAGUAGCUUUUAAAAGUCUUUUGCCGAACAUCUUUUAUCUUUGUUCUUUUUCUAAAAGGACUUUUGCCCUCUCAAAAGUUAAGCCAAACACCCCCUUAAUCUAUUUCUAACCUUAAGACUAAAUAGAGUGGGGUUGUUAAACUCACUUGCUAUGCUCGCUAGUAAGACAUAAACACCGCCCCUAGCGCUCGCUAGGGUGGUCGUUAUGUCUUUCUCGUUACCAUUUUGGUGAGAUGAGAGAGAGUGUGUGGGUGAAAUCUGAUUGCUCCAUAGGAGGUUGACCGGAUUGCAUUAAAAAUUUCUCCUUUUUGAUUUUAAAGAAUUGGAGUGUUAGGAGUGUUACUACUCUUUAUCAAAUGCUAAGAUUAAGUGCUAAAUGGAGAAAAAUGAGGUGACAAUCAAAAAGCUGACAUGACAAGGUGUUAGGAGUGUUAUUACCACUCCCUUAGCCUAAAGAGUGAUGACAUACCAUUGGGUUGUAAGCCUUUUGAUCUUUUCUUUAUUUAUUAAUUUAGAAAAAAUGGAAAAAAAAAGUUUAUGAAUGAUUUGUCAAAAAAUAUCAUUACUUGUGAAAUAUGAUGUCAAUAACCAUUGGUAUUACACUCUUACCCGCCCCCCUUUCCUGUGAUUUCUAUGAUUAAUUGUUAUUUUAUUUCCUUUGUGAUUUGAAUCAAAUCCAAAUCUUUUAUUCUUUUUUAAUUCCAACAUUGUAGUGGGAAGAUUUAUGCAAGUCAUACCUAGUAGAAGCACAGUGGUACCAUAAUGGAUAUACACCCACACUUGAAGAGUACUUGGAAAAUGCUUGUGUAUCGAUAUCGGGUCAUGUAGUACUCAUGCAUGUUAAAUUUUUAACAUCAGUUAGUUUAACCAAAGAAAUCCUACAAUGCCUGGAUAUGUCUGGUAAUAUAGUUCGUUACUCAUCAUUGAUCUUCCGACUUGCUGAUGACUUAGGGACAUCCUCGGUAUGCUCUAGCAUUAUUCGUAUUUUGACUAUUUUCCUUUCAACACGUACAUUAAAUUUGAAAGUGUUUUCAAUGGUAUAUAAAAUAAAGACAAAAUUACUCGCGGUUGGUCCUAUGGUUUCCAAAAACAGACAUAGUAAGGAAAAUUAUAAAACGCACUACACAUUAUGUCAUGUGGUUUCAUUUAUGGCGUGGUUGGUUUUUUGAAACCAUAGGGACCAAGGGCGUACGAGUUUCUAUAGUUGUUCUUACUACGCCUAUUUUGGAAAACUACAAUGACCAAUCACGUAAUUAUGUGUAAAAUAAAUAAGUUAAACAUUAUGUUCUCUUCUUUUAAGGAUGAAAUGGCAAGAGGGGAUAUUCCAAAAUCAAUUCAGUGUUAUAUGCAUGAGAGUGGUGCAACAGAAGAGGAAGCUAGAAGGUAUAUAAAAAAUCUAAUCAAUGAGACAUGGAAGAAACUUAACAAGGAACGAGCAUGUGUUAACUCUAAGUUUUUACGAGAGUUUAUAGACUAUGCAACAAACCUGUCUCGGAUGGCACUAUUCAUGUAUGCUAAAGGAGACGGGCAUGGUCGUCCAGAUGUGACUAAAUCUUAUGUAUUAUCAUUGUUGUUCAAUUCAUAUGAAGGGCAAGAAUAGUUUAGAAUAUGUGUUUUUAUUUAAAAUGCCAAAGAAUCCCACAUUUUAUGUUGCUAGAAGAUCUAUGAAGGACAUGGAAAUUAUGAUAUCUUAACAUGCUGUUAAUGUUGAUGCUACUUUGCAGUUGACUUCUAAGUGAUUUUUAUGAAUCAAAUUCGAGGAGUGAUUGCACCUCAUGCAUUUGAAGAUUAUGCUUCUUGUCUUUGUUUCUCAAACAUUGUACAUAGGCUUGUGUGUUUGAAUCGAUGAUAUGAGGCAUCCACUAUGGUAAUGAAUUUUUAGGCCCAAGAUAUUGACAAGGGUGUUCCAAACAUAUUUUAGGUUUGACAAAAAAAAGCACUACUAGAAUAUAGGUCUUUAAUGACAUGGAAUGAUUUAUGUUACGCAUAAGUGUGUGUCCUAAAAAUAAUGUCAUCUCUCGAAAAAUUUAAAGGAUUUAGGACAUGCAUUUUUACGUGCCCUAUAAUUAAUGUCAAAAAAACAUGGAGGCCACCUAUAAUAAAACGUGUGUCCUCUAAGGAUGUCAUUUUAUAAAUUUUAUGUGAAAUGCGCGUUUUUCAUCCUUUAAUAGCUAAGCGGGAAAUGAAAACCCAAAAGUUAAAAAUCCUGCUUGUGAACCACAAAAGUUAAAAAUCCUGCUUGUUAAAAAUCCUGUUUCCACUGGUGAACCACAAAAUUAAACCCCCCCUGAUAUGCAUCCUCACCCUCUCCUCUAGAUCUUCAUUCUCUGUAAAAACCCCUUCUACCAUCGAUGAUCGAAUUUCACUCCCAAAAAUUACAUAAUGAAAUCCCAAAAAAUUGCAAAACCCUGCUUUUAAGAAAAAUCCUAAACACCCGGUGGUAUUUUCCCUAAAAUUCAUGGAUUCUCUCAUGCGAUUUUAGCGAUUUUCGUUUACCCUUUAUUUUUUCGGCAUCGAUCACUUCUUAGUUGGUCUUUGGCCAUCAUUUUUGUUGUAUCUGGUUUCCCUUGUUCUCUUCCACCUCUAUUUCCAUCUUUCAUCUUCAAGUUCUUCUCAUCAUUAAUUCAGACGAUUCAUAGGAUUCCAGGUUGAGGAGGAGGAAGAAGAGCUAUCAUUCAAGUUCUAGGAGUAGAAGUAGGAAAUCAAUAUAUGUGUGUGAGACGUAAGAUGAAUCCACUGAUAAAAAGAAUACCCCACCAAAAAACUCAUAAACCCUCGUUAUCAGCUACAUAAGCCAAAAAUCCCUCGUCUAGGGUUUUAUUUAUCAACGCUCCCACCAAAGGUACUCUCGUGUCAUUUUAACCUGAGUACAUGUAUACGUUUCUUGACAAAUUUUUUGGAUUUUCUACUUUGGUUGACCUAGAAAUUGCCAAUACUUCAAGAAUUGUGGAGACAUGGUUUCCAUUAUCUGUUCAUGGACUUGAAGUUCUAUAGAUAUCCAGGAAUACAAGAGGUUAUGUUUUACAAUUCAUUAACGACAACAAUGCCUUUGUAUGGUGGGAGGUGAACAUUAUAUGCUUUCUUGUUUUCAUUUUUUAGUAAUUGGGUGUUGUAAUUUUAUUGUCUUUGCUUAGUUUUAUAUUGAUUUUCAUGUAGUAGAAACAAUAUGGAGUUCUAGUGUUUCUUUUACGUAUGGCACAAGGGAGGUUUCCAAAUGGCUCUUAGGAAGUUCGUGUUUCCCACAUGAUGUUAAAAAUGAGUUAAAUUUGGAACUGUACACAAUAAUAUUGUUAUUGAAGUACUGUGGGGAUCGAUUAACUAUUGAAGUCAAACAUAUAUAACAUAAUUUGUACAUGUUUUAAUGUUUAUGUUUCAAAUAUACAUAAUUGGAAAUGAAAAAGUGUUCCAAGCAUGACUUGUGAUGAUCUAAAUGCAAUUGAUCAAUGUAUAUUUUAAGCUUUGUGGUUGUUUUACGCAGCUAGACAUACAAUUUUUUGUGCAUACUAGGCACACAAGUGAUGGAUUGGAAAACAAACUGGUAUUUGUUAUUGAAAUUCCAUCCAAUGUCCAUGUCCUUAUCAUGCUCCCAUCACACCUAAAAAUGAUAAAAUUAUAUAUGCAUGUAAUCUAAAUUAUUGACCUACUUUAUUAUGCAGGGUAUGACCCUCAUAACUUUUUUGGUGCAUACUCUCUUUCCUAUUUUAUAUGAAGGGGCUCAACUCUACUCGAAAAGCCAUGUUAUAAGCUGAAGGUACACUAUUUCAAUAUCUUGUACAUGAAAUUCACAUAUGAAGUUUGUUAAUCUAUAUAAACCAACCCAACUCGGAUGUCUUGUGUUAUGUUUUCAGAUCAUUUCACUGUUGAUUCUAGUUGUUGAUUUGAUAGUCAAUAUCCUCUACCUAUCUCUAGUGGCCAUUUAUUCUCUUUCAUUGAGGAUUUCACCUUAUAUUAGGGUAGUUAUUUUUAUCUUGAACAUCAGGUAUGUCAUGAAUACAUUUAAAACCCUCCAAUAUGAUAAAAUGUUUAUGUAUUUUCAUUGUUGGCGAGGCUAAUUUCCUUUUUGUUAGCUUGAUUUAAGGACCUACGAGAUACCCUUGUUGUCUUGUCUGGAAUGUUUGUCACAUAUCUCAAUGUGUUGGUAUGUAUUUUAUUACAUUAUCAUGAAUUCAUGACUAGUUAUCUAAUUUACAGUGUUUGCCCAUGAUAUGAAAAAGAUGACCAUUGUGUUAUGAGUUUGAAAGUUAACUUCUAAAUUUUCUUAUGUGGUAGAAAACUUUUUGUUGGAGGCAUUGCUUGGGAGACUUCAAAAGGUAUGUUAAUGCAACUUAAUUUCUUGAUGAUACUCUUGUUUUAUAUAUAUAUAUAUAUCAUGUUGACAUGUUUAUGUCUUAUCAUUCUUCCUUUAAUAAUUGAUGAAUUUUCUCCAUAACUAAUCAAUCUAUGUUUUUGUUUCUCAUAUCCAGAAUCCUUCAACAGUUACUUCAUCCAUUAUGGGGAACUUACGAAUUCUGUGAUAAUGAUGGAUAAAAUUUAUGGGAGACCGCAUGGAUUAAGGUUUGUAACAUUUGCUAACCCUGCUGAUUCAGAUAAAGUCUUGGAGCAAGAUCAUGUCAUAGAUGGCAGACCAGUAAGAUACCUUUUCAUGAUUAUACUAUAUGAAAUUACAUAUAUUAGGGUUACAAAAUGGGUGGGUCAGAUGGGUUGGGUAAUGAUUCAAAAUGGGUAAAUUUUAGGGUCGAGUUGGGAUGACCCACCAUCACCUUUUUGUCCAUUUUUAGAGUUUUAUAAACUAGUAUGUUAUAUAUAAUUAGAAAGGAUUAAUUCAAUGGUAUAGAAAAUACCUAUUUUCUUUGGUAGUUAGGUCACUAAAGUAACAUUUUUUUAUUAAUUCCACUAUGAUAUACUUAUAAGCAUUUUAAUACGUUUUGGGUAUUAGUUGACUUGUUUUAUCUUUAGCUAAGUGCUUACAUUGUAUCGAUUUGGAGAUAAAAUAUAUCCAAAACAAAUCCAUUAUUGGGUAAAUUGAUUGAAAUUGCUUUCUCUAAUUGGUAUUUGGAACAUACUUCCUUUGCUUUUUUGAUGUGGUCUUGAAUUAGGUUAAAGUGAAGAGGACAGUUCCAAGGGAGGAUAUGCAGGGUAGUAGAGGUGUAUCAAGAACAAAGAAAAUCUUUGUUGGUGGUAUACCAUUAACUUUAACAAAAGGUAAUAAUAACAAAAUGAUUUGAUUUCUUAAUUAAAAAAAAAUCAAAUUAUGGAGUCCCAAGAUGUGAUGAUGUUAUUAUUGUGAUGUAACUUUGAUUUGCAGAUGAGAUGAUGGAAUAUUUCUUGUCAUAUGGUGAGAUUGUAGAACAUCAAAUAAUGCUAGAUAAUGUCACUAGUCGAUCAAGAGGAUUUGGUUUUGUUACAUUUGAUAGUGAAGAGGCUUUGGUUUUGAUACAUCUGAUGAUGUUGAUAUUGUGUUGUAACUUUGAUGCUAACGUUUACUUGGAUUGUUAUUAUAUGAAAUACAUUUUUUUGUUAUAUCAUGUAUUUUAUGUUGUGUUAUGAGAUAUUAAUUGUCAUUUAAUUUGAAAAUUAGUAAAUCUAUAAAAAAAUAUAUAUAUUUUUAAAAAAUAUAUAUAUUUUUUAAAGAUUUUAAAAUUAAGACACGCAAUGCGUGUCGUAAAUGCGCGUCAUAAGGUUACGACAGACAAAUGUGUGUCAUCUUCAUUUAUGACAGGGGAUUCCUUGAUACGCAUUGUGUGUCAUCUAUUUGUCGUAAAUGCGUGUCGUAAAUAGACGACGCGCAAAAGCAUGUCGUCUGUCGUUAUGACAGGGCCUUCCUUGAUAUGCAUUUGCGUGUCGUCUGAGCGUUUUACAACACACAUUACGUGUCGUAAAAGGUUGUUUUUCUUGUACUGAAGAAAGAGCCUUUAUUAUUAUUACACUAAAAACUAUGAAAAAAUGAAACAUGUUUAUUGGGCAAGUUAAAUAGUGAAACCAACAAUUGUGUUAUGAUGUGCAUAAACACCAAAACAUAAUUAUUGAAAUGUUUUGAGAUUCUACGGUUUGGUUUAGGGUUUUAAAAAGGAUUUUUGGCACUAUAGCACAAUGAAGUUUGGCCACUUUUCACAUCUAGUCACUCAUGUAUGUUUUAUGCUCAAUUAAUCCUUAACUUUAGGAAAUACCGGCUAAUUACACCCUUAUGAACUUGGUAAAUGGAACAGUCGGUUGUCUUUCUUACGUGGUAUUACAUUAAAUAAGAUAUUUACCUUACCUUAUCCACGUAAGAAAUCGAAGUAAAAAUAAUCACAUCUAUUCACACACACUACUACUCUCCUUCGUUCUUCAUUUUUAUCAAUGACCAAGAAUGAAAAAACUAGGGUUACACACGUUUUCCUUCGAUCGAAUUUAGUGAUCAGGUAACCAACCGACAAUGUAACCUCAAGGCCAAACCCUGAUGGUGUCUACCUUGUAGUGGAGCUCAACUUCGAAGGUGUUUUUCUUCGAGAUCCUUUUUCGUAUAACCAUGGUAUAAAAUUCACAUUCAAAGAUCAUGAUUUUUCUGGAAUGACAUACUCUGAGUGUAUCACCUUUCUCGAAUGGUUCAUGCAAGAAAGUAUAAACAAGUUAUACUACUGUGAGCCAGAUAAACCCUUAUUGUCUGGGAUAACUGCUAUUCGUAAUGAUGGAGAUUAUGUUAGUUUCAUUUUUUAUGCUUUUGGAGUUGAUGGUUUUAUUUCCCUAUAUGUGGACCAUGAUGGUCAAGGAAUAGAGGAUUGGUUUGGCUCUGAGAUAUAAGAAGAAGAAGAAGAAGAAGAUGAUGAUGAUGAUGUCGAUCCAUGCAUUGAUGGUGGUGAAAAUGAAGACGAAAUUGAUAACCUUAUGGAUGUGGAAGUAGACUUUAAUGAGGAUAUACUCACUAUGAACAUAAUACAAGGUGAUGAUUUUAUGAAUAAAUUAUGUGUUGAAGAGGAAGAGGGAAAUGAUAACAACAUAGAUGAUGAUGGGGGUGAAGAGGAGGAAAAUAUAACGCAACAACAUUCGAUUUUUCAUGAGUCAACUCCAUAGAAAAAGCAGUACCCUAUACUUGGUAAGAGAUUCAAAGAUCCAACUCAAUUAAAAUCUAUGUUAUUCAACUAUGUUUUUUGUUGGAUUAGGUGUCUAAGCCCAUAACUAUAAUUGGUAUGUACUUGAUUUGAUAGUAGCAUGGUCCUUUUAGGUUGCCUUCACCAUAGCAACUCGACAGGAUGAGUUUUGGAGAAAGAGGUUAAUAAAUGAUUUAUUAAUAUAUUAUAAGAAUAAUAUAUUAAUUGAGAAAUCAUAUUAUUUAAUUAGUAUAAAUCAUAAAUUAAUUUGGAAUUAAUUUUGGGAUUAAAGGAACUGAUUAAAAGUAAAGGGGCUGAUAUUGUAAAUCAUUGAUAGUUGCAAUUAGGGUUGAUGGACUCCUUAAGGAAGGAAUGGACGAAAUCUAUGGGAAGCCCAUAGAGAUUUCGUCCAAGGCCCUCUAGAAGGUAUCCACGGACGGCUUAAGGCUUAAGCAAUCAGAUUAGGGUUUCCACCUGAAAACCCUACCAGCCUCGGCUAUAUAAGGAACCCCUUGGUAUAAAUUUUUUGGCCCUAUGCAUUCUAAGAGAACCCUAGCCGAAAAUUGAAGAGCCUCCAUCACCUUUCUCCUUCAUCCUUUGCUAGUGGUGUUUGUGACUCCAUUAGAGGUGCAACGCUUGGGGCACUAAGAUCUUAGAAGUCAAGAUCAAGCAAGGAAUACUUGUUAUUUCUAGAUAACAAGAAAGGUAUUCUUCUAACACUAACAAUAUAUAGAUUUUGAUUUUAUAUAUAUUAGAUCUAGGGUUAUUGCUUAGAAAAUUAUUUGCAUGUAUAACUUGAGAAAAACUUAGAUCUAAAGCAAUUAGGGUUCCAUGUACAUAUAGAAAUGUAGAUAUGCUCAAAACCGAUCAGUGAAAUCAGAGCCUAGGUCGUUUUUCUAUUAUAUUUGAGAAAAUAGUGAUAUGCCUAAAGCUGAAAUAAAACGAUUCUGCUUUCUAUCUGAUGAACUCGACGAGUUGAAAAAUGAACACGACAAGUUGGGUAAACUCGACGAGUCCAAGCCCUGACUUGACGAGUUGACUCGUCUGACAGCUAAUUUUUCGAUUUUCAAAUCUAUCUUAGAUUAGGAUAGUUACCAUAAUUCGUUUUUAAUGCCUUAAAUUGGCCUAAAGCUGAAAUAAAACGAUUCUGCUUUCUAUCUGAUGAACUCGACGAGUUGAAAAAUGAACACGACAAGUUGGGUAAACUCGACGAGUCCAAGCCCUGACUUGACGAGUUGACUCGUCUGACAGCUAAUUUUUCGAUUUUCAAAUCUAUCUUAGAUUAGGAUAGUUACCAUAAUUCGUUUUUAAUGCCUUCAAUUAAAUUAUCUGCUUGGUAAUGUGAUUUCCUUAUCAAAAUAGAUUGUUUUGGUCAAACUUUAAGAUAAUGUCUAAUUAUAUGAUUAAUUAAUUAUUUAAAAUUUGAACUAGUAAUUUUGAAAAUUUUCAAAUUGCAUCCUCAAAGUUUUGGAAUUUAAAAUUUUAAUUAAAAUUUUAAUUUUGAAAUGAUAAAUUCUAGAAAACCCUGGUAUUUUAAAAGUUUAAAAUACAACCCUNAGAUGAGUCAGUCAUAACGUUAGUAGGCCUCAUUCCUGAAGCCGAUCUAUAAGGGGAGUAUAAAGGUAACUUCCUAUAAAAUGGCAGUUGAAUGAGUGUGCACUCUCACCCACCGUUUCCUUGACUGGUGGAGCGUCGUUGGCCGAACGGGUAGGAUAGGACAUUAAUUCUCUCAUUAAUAAGUAUAAUGAAAAUUAUAAAGUAACUAAAUGUUUUUAUAAAUUCCCAAUCUUAUUUACUUUAGGAAAAUAUGAAAAUGAUGCCAGUCCAUGAAAUUGCACUUUGCAUCUUGCCAAGUCGUUAGUGGAGCAUGUGUGAUUAACCGACACACUGACUUGGACUAACAAGGAUGGCAAAGGGUAACUCGAAAAUUAUCAUAGAUCAAUGGAGCGUGUGUGGUUAAUCGUCACAUUGAUUAGGUGGUAAAUGACAUCGAUAGUGCCAAGCUAAUUUUCAUGGUUAUUCACACCUUGUUUGUGAUCCUCGGUGUCCCAGUCACAAACUUAAAGGGCAUAAUUGAGAUUAAACAUGUCGUUGAAAAGUUCAAUGAAUAUCAAAAGAAUCUAGGAAUUUCAUUUCAUUUAAAACUUAAUUCUUCAUUUCGUUUUUCAUGGUGGAAUUGGUAAAUCGUCAUUUACCUACCUUCAAAUAAUUUACAACUGGAUUACGGCAUCCCUCUUCCGAAUAAUUAAAUGGUUAGUGGGGUGUUGGUUUUGGGAUGUCAAAUGGCAAGAAUUGAAUCUAUAGGGGUUAAAAUGUAAUUUGGGGACUUAAUUUGUAAAGAUUUUCAUAAGUUAAGGAGUGUUAGGUAUUAUUUGGGCUUAAUAUGUAAAGAACUAUGGAAACAAGGGUAAAGAGUAAAUAUCAAACUUAAUGUAGCACCUGGUUCCUAGUACGUAUUCCUUGUAAUUAAUAUUUCGUAAUUAAUGCAAUUUUCCUUGGACUCGGCGAGUUGAAGAACCAACUCGCCGAGUAGAAGCGGGAUGAGACGUGGGGUCUGAGCCUCAGACUCGGCGAUUCGGUUCCCGGACUCGGCGAGUAUGCCCUGUUUGGGCAAAAACCCUACCCCGGGUGUUUGCACCCUAUUUAAACACUCUAACUCGGCCUCCGCUGUCCCUAACACUUCCAGAAGAGCUAUAGAGCGAAACCAUAGCCCCCUUUUGUCUUUGUGAGUGAUUUUGGCCUUGUGAAGGAAGUUUGAAGCUUAAGAGAAGAAGAAAGAGGUGGAAGAGUGCAAGGAGAGGAAGUAGAUCCGACAUCUACCCUGCAAGAGGCUUCCAUUCAGGUAGAAAAGUCCCUACCUUGAUCUGUAGUUCAUUAAAUUCCCCGUCCCUAAUUGGUGGUUUUCAAUCCCUAAAAACACCAAACUCCAUGUGUUUGUGCUCUAUGAUCCGAAAGGACUUCAAAUCUAGACCUUAUAGACGUAUUAGAAGUAUAAAGUCUCUGUGGUUGAAGUGAUUGAGGUCCCUAUUGAGUGUAUGACCAUAUAAAGAGCUUGGAUUUGCCUUUUGGAGCUUAUAGGGCCAUGCAUGCACGUAAAGUUUUCAACUUUACGUGAUAAGCAUGACCUACGAACAUAGAUCUAUGCUUUGGAAGCAUUGCAUGUCUCAGAUUUGGUCUGUAUGGGAAAUGGGUCGAAGGGACUCAGCGAGUCCCAAAGUGGAACUCGGCGAGUUCUAUGAAGAUGGCCUUAGACUCGACGAGUUGGAUGAACAACUCGGCGACUCCUAUGAAGAUUGUCUGGAACUCGACGAGUUGUUCUUCAAACUCGGCGACUCAUAUGAGCUAUUACUGAGUAAGAGGGGUUUAGGUGUUGGCGGUCCAAACCUUCAUAUCCGCACGCGGAAUUAGCAAUUUAACAUGUAGCAAUAGUCCCAGAAACCCAAAUCCUCAUAAAGGAUGCUCUGGUGAGGAUUUGGAAGCGAGUAAGAGAUCAGCUCGUAUGGACUCAGCGAGUUGCUCUUGGACUCAGCGAGUCAGAUCACGAGCUGGUUCUAUCGUCCUAAGUAGUGAGUUAAGGGUGAAUCAGUGAGUGGGAACAAGGACUUGUAGAGUAGGACCGGGUUAGUGGGAGAAGGACUCGGCGAGACGGUGCCAUGACUCGGCGAGUCCAGUCAACUGGAAGUUGACUUUGACCAAGGAGUUGACCUUGGACCAGGGUGGGUCAGUCAUCUGACCUAAGGGUGUUUAUGAGUGGCUAAUCUAUGUUUAUGAUUUAUAGCCAGAGGAUUACCGAUUCAGCAGUCAGGCGCUUAGCAAGCAGACUUUCAGCAGCUACUUUUUGAGGUGAGUUACCUUCCAGUAGCAGUGGGUCUAAGGCUAUAAUGUCGGCCCACUAGUAGGAGUUGUAUGAUUAGAUGAUUGUCUCUGUGAUAUUCAUCUAGGGUUUCUACUACCUGUGUUAUGUUUAUGUGCUAGUAUGAUAUGAUGUUAUGUGCUAGUGACAGUAAGGGAGAUAGUCCCCAUAUUACCGGUCGUUAGGACCGAAGGGGCAGUCAUGCCUAACCAUGCUAGAUAGAUUAUGUGAUACGUGAUAUGUGGUAGUGGUAGGGGUGAAAUAGUCCCUAGUAUCCGGUCGAGAGGACCGAAGGGGAGAGCAGCACCCAGGUAUGCUAGUCAGCAUCCCGUCGAGAGGACCGAAGGGGAGACCAGCACACAUAUAUGCUAGUCAGUAUCCGGUCGAGAGGACUAAAGGGGUAGGUCGGGUACCCAUAUAUGCCUGACAAUAUAUGUAUGUUAUGUGAUUAUUUGCUAUGUGGUAGGGGGGGGAACUCACUAAGCUUCAUGCUUACGGUUUAUAGUUUUGUUUUCAGGUACCACUUCAGCGAAGGGGAAGGAGUUGGCGCGGUAGCGGCACAUCAUACAUGCACAUUGUUUUCCGCACCAUGAGUCAUUCUAGGAUUUUGUACUCUGAUAUGUGAUAGUUUUCAUAUUUUGGUUUUCAGACACGAUGUAUGUUAUGAAAUGGUUUGAUCAGACAAUGUUUUAUUUACAAAUGUUUUCUAAAGUAUUGAUUUAAAAACUAAAUUUUUGGAUGUGAAAUUUGGGUCGUUACAAGUUGGUAUCAGAACCCUGGUUUGAGGGAUUUGGACACACCUUGGGAGUGUAUGAACUCAAACCAAGGGAUUAAAGGAUUUCGAAAAAAAAAUUUCUAAAAGUUUAAGCAAAGAGUUUUAAGAAUGAACGAAGUGUGUGAUGUGCGCGACCGGCCAAGCUCACGUAAGUAUUCCCCAAAGUACCCAUACAAGUUUAUGUUAUGUUUAACAGUUUCAGUAGAGCAACAUGCUAGAAUAGGACUAAGGAUCUAGGAGUGAUGCCUUAUGUGCCUACUUUAUGUGUUUCAGCUUAUGAGAAUUGCAUGCUAGUAUUGGGUAGACAGUGGUAGGAUAGCCUAAUUAGGUUAUGCUUGGUAGUAUGAGCCUAGCAUUAUGUGCUAGUUCAGCUUCUCAUGUUGAGGAUAGAUUUGUUUGGUUAGAUUUUUCCCUUGUUUGAAUGCUGCUUGCUUUGUGCACUGUGGGAUUCUGAGUAAUGGGAGUUAGCCAUUAGGUGAAUAUGUCACGUCACAUGUGAUCAGGGUUGAAUAAUCUCAGAGUGCUGGAUUUGGCCCUAUUGCGCAGCUCUCGUCUAAGUCUAACCAUAGUAGGGACGAGUCUUCUACUCGAAGGGUUAUCUGAGCCUCGUCACAUGUGAUGGUAUUUAGGUGAUGGUUAAUUGGCAUCACAAGGAGGCCUUCAGCAACUGAGGACUGGUUUGAGUUGAGUCAAAGGUUCCUAGGGUAAGCCUAGGAUCAGAGUAGCAGAGAUCAACAGUGGUAAAAGGGAUCUGGUGGAGUCGAGGCAGUCCUUGAGGAAGGUACGGAUAGAUGUGGAAGGCAGUAUGGGCCCGUACUACUAAAAGCAGAGGAUCCGUACCUGAAUUAAGGAAGGCUAAGACAAGACCGGGGAACUUAUAAUAGAUGUGAUCCCUUAGAGGUAUUAGUAUCACUAAUGGUUUCCUGUGUCUAUUGCAGAAUGGUGGUACUACGUCAGAGGCCAGCAGGUGGCAGUUCUGGAGAUGGAUCGGGUUCGGGAUCAUGUUCCGAGCCAGUAGAUGAGAGGCUACGUGAGUUCAUCACGUCAGAGAUCACCAGAGGCAUCCUUGAGUCGACUCCCAUUAUCUUUGGGUCGAUCAAGGAAGGCAUAGUUGAGUUGAUGGAGGAUCGCCUCAAGGCAUUCAGGAGCGACAUGGCAUCUGGCCAGUCGUGAUCUCGCACACUGUCCUUUAAGGACUUCAGGGGAAGUGGUGCGCCGGAUUUUCACGGGGCGAAGGACCCCAUAGCUGCCAAGUGGUGGAUUGCAGACAUCGAGUAUGCACAGUUGACUAGCUUCUGCCCCGAGGGGUCGAAGGUGAGGUUUGCAGCAGGGUGUUUACGAGACCGAGCUAGAGAUUAGUGGGAGUCCGUCGGUGACGCAUUGGGAGCCUCGGCUGUCGAGGCUAUGACCUGGUCGGACUUUGUGACCAGAUUCAAGGCAGAGUUUGCGUCGGCUAUCGAGAUUCAGCAGCUGGCCAGAGAGUUUUUAGAUAUGAGGUAGAUGGCGGAGACUGUGGCGGAGAUCACAGCCAAGUUCCGGGAGAGGGCGUUGUUAGUGCCCCAGUAUGCAGGUGAUGAGGAUAUGAGGUGGACCCGCUACCAUGACAUGCUACGAGCUGAUAUCCGGGAGCAUGUUAGUUUUCAGCUUGCCCUACCCUGGAUUCCAUGAUUGCCAGGGAUAGGGAAAGGGAGAUUGAUUUGGAGCAUAUCCGAAAGAGGAAGGCUGAGGAGGGACAGGUUACAGGGGCUUCGGGGAAGAAGCCCAAGGGAUCAGAUGCUGGGCCAUAAGGCUAACAGGGACGAGGCCGCUGCAGGAAAUGCGGCAAGACGUACGAGGGAGCGUGCAAGUUGGGAUCGUCAGGUUGCUAUAAGUGCGGCAAGUUAGGGCAUUUUAGUAGGGAUUGUACCGCCCCUGCACCUGUCUUCUCGACGUCUGAGUUCUUGUGCUUCCACUGCAACCAGAGGGGCCACAAGAAGGCCAAUUGCCCCCAGUUGACAGCAGCAUCAGCGCCAGUGAAGGCGCCAGCUCCAGCGACCCUGCGGAUCACAAAUGGCCGGCAGGGCAAGUCGGAGGCUCCAGUGGUGAGGAGACGGACCUUUUAGCUGACUACAGAGGAGGCACGCGCCACACCCGAUGUGGUGACGGGUAUGAUUCUUUAUUUAUGCUUUUAUGUUAUGCUGCUGUAAUUUUGAUAUGUUAUAUGUAUGUGCUCUGCUUAGGAUCGUUCCAUGUGAACGGUAUCCUAGUUCAGGUGUUGUUCGAUUCGAGGCUACCCGAUCGUUUGUUUCUCUUGCGCUUAGCAAGAGGUUUACUGAGUCUUCGGGCAUGUUGGAUUCCACUUUAGAGGUAGAGAUUGCCGAUGAUCAAUCGGUGCGAGCAUCAGCAAUGUUCAGGGAUAGUGUUCUAAGGUUGUUUGAGGAGCGCUACUUGGUGGAUUUGGUUCCCAUUCCGUUGCGUGUGAACAAGGUGAUUAUAGGCAUGGAUUGGUUGAGCCCCAAUAGGGCGGUGAUAGAUUGCGCACAACAGCUGGUGCGGGUCAGGACCUCAAGUAGGGGAGAGUUGGUGAUCCACGGCGAGAGGCCACAACAUGGACCCACAGUAUGUUCAGCAACGAGAGGUAGGCGCUACCUUCAGCAGGGUUGCGCGGGAUAUGUCGCGUACGUUAUGGAUAUCCGGGAGGCGGGUAAGGUGAUGGUGAGCGAGGUUCCGGUGGUUCGAGACUACGCUGAUGUGUUCCCAGAAGAGCUUCCUGGAAUACCUCGGGAGCGACAGGUGGAGUUCGGGAUCGACCUAAUCCCUGGUGCGGCUCCGAUAGCCAAGGCACCAUACAGCUUGGCUCCUCCUGAGACGCAGGAGUUGUCUGCACAGUUGCAGGAGCUGUUAGACAAGGGAUUCAAUGGACCGAGCAGUUCACCCAGGGGAUCCCCGAUUCUAUUUGUGAAGAAGAAGGACGGGUCGCAUCGAAUGUGUAUAGACUAUCGGGAGUUGGACAAGGUAACAGUGAAGAACCGUUACCCACUCCNCCGAGGAUUGAUGACCUCUUUGACCAGCUUCAGGGAGCAUCUUGGUUCUCCAAGAUUGAUUUGCGUUCAGGUUAUCAUCAGAUGAGGGUCAGGGAGGAGGAUGUGCAGAAGAUAGCAUUUCGAACGCGCUAUGACCAUUAUGAGUUCGUGGUGAUGUCGUUUGGGCUCACCAAUGCUCCUGCCGUGUUCAUGGACCUCAUGAACCGCGUGUGCAGACCGAUGAUGGAUCGGUCUGUGACAGUUGUCAUUGAUGAUAUCUUGGUUUAUUCCAAGACGCAGGAGGAGCACGAGGGGCAUCUCCGAGAUGUGUUGGUGACCCUGAGGAGAGAGAGCUUAUAUGCUAAGUUCUCCAAGUGUGAGUUCUGGUUGUGCGAGGUGCAGAUUCUUGGGCACCUUGUCAACCAGGACGGGAUUUCAGUAGACCCGGCCAAGGUGGAGGUCGUGAUGAGAUGGGAGGUUCCGAAGUCUUCAUCCUAGAUUUGGAGUUUCCUGGCUUUAGCGGGCUAUUAUCGGAGUUUCAUCCAGGAUUUCUCCAAGAUAGUCGUACCAUUGACCAGGCUAACAAGGAAGGCCAUGGUCUUUCAUUGGGGGCCUGAGCAGCAGGCAGCGUUCGAGACACUGAGACAGAGAUUGUGCGAGGCGCCAAUAUUAGCCCUGCCAGAGGGCAUAGAGGAUUUUGUUGUGUACUGCGAUGCGUCCAUCUCAGGUUUGGGUGCGAUAUUGAUGCAGAGAAGGCAUGUCAUCGCCUACGCGUCGAGGCAGCUGAAGCCUCAAGAGGCGAAUUACCCGACGCAUGACUUGGAGCUGGGGGCUGUUGUGUUCGCCCUCAAGAUUUUGCGUCAUUACCUCUAUGGGGUUCGCUGUACCAUUUACAUGGAUCAUAAGAGUUUGAGGUACCUCAUGGAUCAGCCGAAUCUAAACAUGAGGAAGCGUCGGUGGUUGGAUGUGGUAAAGGGUUACGAUUGCGAGAUCCUUUAUCAUCCAGGGAAGGCCAAUGUGGUGGCCAACGCGCUUAGCCGUAAGGCAGCACCGAUCCGAGAUAUCUGCCUACGGAUGAUAGUAGUGAGUCCGCUGUUGGAGCGGAUUCGGGAGGCUCAGCAGGAGGAUAUGAAGGAGGAACAUCGAAAGAGUGAGCGCAUAGNUCGACUAUGAUAGCCGAUGGUUAUUGACUCUUCACCGUAGGGUGUGGGUCCCUUAUCAUGGAGGCGUACGUCAGGUUUUGAUGGAGGAGGCGCACAAAUCCCGGUUCUCUAUUCAUCCCGGGGCGACAAAGAUGUAUAGGGAUCUUCGCCUAGACUGUUGGUGGCCCUACAUGAAGUGGGAUGUGGCUUGGUACGUUGAGAGGUGUUUGACCUGCAGGAAGGUCAAGGCCGAGCAUCAGAGACCGCACGACAAGAUGCGGCCGUUGGACAUCCCGUUGUGGAAAUGGGAAGAUAUUAUGAUGGAUUUUAUCACGAAGCUUCCCAGGACCCCGUGAGGAGUGGAUGCGAUAUGGGUCAUCGUGGAUCGAUUGACCAAGAGCGCCCAUUUUAGUCCAAUUCAGGAGAGCAUAUCGGCCGAAAAGUUGGCCGACAUCUAUAUCAGGGAGAUAGUGGCAUGGCACGGGGUGCCAGUAUCCGUGAUUUUAGAUAAGGAUGUGCGUUUUACUUCCAGGUUUUGGAAGAAAUUUCAUAACGAGUUGGGCACUCGUCUACAUUUUAGCACCGCCUUUCACCCGCAGACAGAUGGUCAGAGUGAGUAGACCAUCCAGAAUCUUGAGGAUAUGUUGCGGGCAUGCAUGCAAGACUUCGGUGGUAGCUGGGAUACCUAUCUUCCUCUAGCUAAGUUCUCGUACAACAACAGCUACCACGCGAGUAUUGAUCGACCUCCCUUCGAAAUGUUGUACGUAAGGAGGUGUCGGACCCCGAUAUGUUGGCGUGAGGUUGGCCAGAGGGUCAUGGGGAGCACCGAAGUGGUGCUCAAGACGACUGAGAAGAUUCAGCAAGUUCGGAGCAGGCUUCAGACUGCACAGAGUCGACAGAAAAGUUAUGCCGACAAGCGCCAUUCAGAAUUGGAAUUCCAAGUCGGGGAUAUGGUUUUUCUGAAGGUGUCGCCAUGGAAAGGCGUCAUCCGAUUCAGAAAAUGAGGCAAGUUGGGCCCAAGGUACAUCAGUCCAUUCAGGGUUGUAGCCCGGGUGGGCAAGGUGGCGUAUAGGUUGGAUCUGCCAGCCGAACUCAGCCAGAUCCACAGCACUUUCCACGUCUCGCAGUUGCGGAAGUGUUUGGUGGACGACUCGGCAGUGGUGCCCUUAGAGGAUAUUCAGGUCGAUGACAUCCUGAAUUACAUCGAGCGUGGUGUGGUAAUUACAGCACCGGAAGGGAUCGGAGUGGACUUGGGAGCUGGUGGAAGAGAUGAUGGAGCACUACCCCAAGUUGUUUCAGGAUCGAGCAGCAGACUUCGAGGACGAAGUCUAAAAUAAGUGGGGGAGAUUUGUAGCACCCGGUUCCUGGUACGUAUUCCUUUUAAUUAAUAUUUCGUAAUUAAUGCAAUUUUCCUUGGAUUUGGCGAGUUGAAGGACCAACUCGCCGAGUAGAAGCGGGAUGAGACGCAGGGUUUGAGCCUCGGACUCGGCGAGUCGGUUCCCGGACUCGGCGAGUAGGCCCUGUUUGGGCAAAAACCCUAACCCGAGUGUUUCCACCCUAUUUAAACACUCUAACUCGGCCUCCCCUGUCCCAAACACUUCCAGAAGAGCUGUAGAGCGAAACCCUAGCCCCCUUUUGUCUUUAUGAGUGAUUUUGGCCUUGUGAAGGAAGUUUGAAGCUUAAGAGAAGAAGAAUGAGGUGAAAGAGUGCAAGGAGGAGAAGUAGAUCCGACAUCUACCCUGCAAGAGGCUUCCAUUCAGGUAGAAAAGUCCCUACCUUGAUCUCUAGUUCAUUAAAUCCCCCUUUUGUCCCUAAUUGGUGGUUUUCAAGCCCUAAAAACACCAAACUCCAUGUGUUUUGCUCUAUGAUCCGAAAGGACUUCAAAUCUAUACCUUAUGGGCGUAUUAGAAGUAUAAAGUCUCUGUGGUUGAAGUGAUUGAGGUCCCUAUUGAGUGUAUGACCUUAUAAAGAGCUUGGAUUUGCCUUUUGGAGCUUAUAGGGCCAUGCAUGCACGUAAAGUUUGCAACUUUACGUGAUAAGCGUGCCCUGGGAACAUAGAUCUAUGGUUUGGAAGCGUUACAUGUCUCAGAUUUGGUCUGUAUGGGAAAUGGGUCGAAGGGACUCGACGAGUCCCAAAGUGGAACUCGGCGAGUACUAUGAAGAUGGCCUUAGACUCGGCGAGUUGGAUGAACAACUCGGCGAGUCCGAAGAAGAUUGUCUGGAACUCGACGAGUUGUUCUUCAAACUCAGCGAGUCAUAUGAACUAUUACUGAGUAAGAGGGGUUUAGGUGUUGGCGGUCCAACCCUUCAUAUCUGCACGCGGAAUUAGCAAUUUAACGUGUAGCAGUAGUCCUAGAAACCCAAAUCCUCAUAAAGGAUGCUCUGGUGAGGAUUUGGAAGCGAGUAGGAGAUCGGCUCGUAUGGACUCGGCGAGUUGCUCUUGGACUUGGCGAGUCGGAUCGCGAGUCGGUUCUAUCGUCCCAAGUAGUGAGUUAAGGGUGACUUAGUGAGUGGGAAGAGGGACUUGUAGAGUAGGACCGAGUUAGUAGGAGAAGGACUCGGCGAGUUGGUGCCAUGACUCGGCGAGUCCAGUCAACUGGAAGUUGACUUUGAACAAGGAGUUGACCUUGGACCAGGGGUGGUUCAGUUAUCUGACCUAAGGGUGUUUAUGAGUGGCUAAUCUAUGUUUAUGAUUUAUAGCCGGAGGAUUACCGAUUCAGCAGUCAGGCGCUUAGCAAGCUGACUUUCAGCAGCUACUUUUUGAGGUGAGUUACCUUCCAGUAGCAGUGGGUCUAAGGCCACAAUGCCGACCCACUAGUAGGAGUUGUAUGAUUAGAUGAUUGUCUCUGUGAUAUUCAUCUUGGGUUGCUACUACCUGUGUUAUGUUUAUGUGCUAGUAUGAUAUGAUGCUAUGUGCUAGUGACAGUAGGGGAGAUAGUCCCCAAAUUACCGGUCGAUAGGACCGAAGGGGCAGUCAUGCCCAACCAUGCUAGAUAGAUUAUGUGAUACAUGAUAUGUGGUAGUGGUAGGGGUGAAAUAGUCCCUAAUAUCCGGUCGAGAGGACCGAAGGGGAGACCAACACCCAGGUAUGCUAGUCAGCAUCCGGUCGAGAGGACCGAAAGGGAGACCAGCACACAGAUAUGCUAGUCAGUAUCCGGUCGAGAGGACCAAAGGGGUAGGUCGGGCACCCAGAUAUGCCUGACAAUAUAUGUAUGUUAUGUGAUUAUUUGGUAUGUGGUACGGUGGGGUUACUCACUAAGCUUCGUGCUUACGGUUUAUAGUUUUGUUUUCAGGUACCUCUUUAGCGAAGGGGAAGGAGCUGGUGCGGUAGCGACACAUCAUACACGCACAUUGUUUUCUGAACCAUGAGUCAUUUUGGGAUUUUGUACUCUGAUAUGUGAUAGUUUUCAUAUUUCGGUUUUCAGACACGAUGUAUGUUAUGAAAUGGUUUGAUCAGACAAUGUUUUAUUUACAAAUGUUUUCUAAAGUAUUGAUAUAAAAACAAAAUUUUUGGACGUGAAAUUUGGGUCGUUACACUUAAAUUGAAAGGUUUUGGAUGGUUGGGGGCUGUUUGGUAAUUUAUGGGUCGAAUUUGAAAAGGAUUUUCGAGGCUAGGGUAGAAAGGGUAAAAUAUGGCCUCAUUUUGAAAGAAUAAGAAAAGGGAGGGACCAAAGUUGUUGUUAUGGAGAAAAGUUUGAUGGGCUACGAGACUAUAAAACCCAUCACCCAUUAACCCUAACACUAGCAUGAAGGCAGCCGCCAUCAUCGAAAGACCUCCAGCAGCCACCCUCACCUCUUCUCCUCUCCAGCCGUCGGAGGUUGAUGUUGUGGAUCACCGCUGCCGUUCCUUGAUCAGUUACGUCGCCGCCUCCCCUCUCUGCUAUCAAGGUCGCAAAUGGCGCUGCCGGUAAGGACGUAUUUGCCAAGGUCCCAUGGCCGCCGAUAGAGAAAAGACCAUAUCGAUCAUUCUUCCCCGUUUCUGUUCCGGUGGUAUGCUGCUACUAUUCCAUUGUCAUCCGACCGCCACCUCCCUGCUGUUACCACCAUACCCUCCGCCACAACCAUCACCAUGGAAGACGAAGGGCCGCCAUGGAGCGCCAAGGCAGUAUGUGACCAGAUGAGACCCUUGGUUGGUCGUCGUCGAUGGUUUGCUGCCGCCAACAUGAAUUAGCCGCCUGCUCCGACUGUCGUACGUCGCCACGCGAAGGUUGUGCUGGAGUGUUGUAUGUAGUCUAAGGUUUAUGUGUGUGAAUUUGUCAACCCGGGAAGCUGAGGACCGCCACUGCCACCACCGUGAGGUGGUGGCUGCCGCCUGUGUGUGUUCAUUUUGUUUAGUGUGUAUGUGUGAUUUUUUUUGAUUUUUAGCAUUGUAUUGUGUAAAAUUACAAAUUGGAAUAAUGAAAGGAAAAAUCAAACCACCACCGUGAGGUGGUGGCUGCCGCCUCCUAUCGCCACCGGCCGCCGUGUCGGGUGGCGGUGUGCCUUGUUGGAUAGUGACUAGUUUGGGAUGUUUGGACAAGGGACUAAAACCUUAGUGGGCCUUGUAAUCCCUAAUGGGCCCAAUGAAGCUUAAUUGACCUAAAAGCCCAAGCAUGUAACUAAUGGGCUUUGUAAAACCCUAAGGGGCCUAGUGGAAUCAUAAUGGGCCUAAUGAACCUUAAUUGAUCAAAAUACAUAUCAAUUGGGCCUAUUGGGCUAAGAUGGGGUUGGAAACCCUAAUUAGGUUUUAGAAAACCCUAAUUUUGGAUUUAUGGGCUUGGACUUAUUGGGACCCACUUUUGGGCCAUUGGAAUGAAAUUGUGUGAUUAUGCCCAAUCACACCAUAUGACUUAUUUAGAAGAAUGAUGGACUUAAUCGAUUAAGUCCUUAAUGGAUUAAGUCUUUAACGGGUUAAGUGAGAAAAUCUUAACCCUAAUUGUCAUUUUAUGUGGAAACCCUAAUAUCACUUGGGUUUUACUGAUUGGCCUUUCUAAUGGGCCUUCAUGAUUGGGUUAUUAAUGGCCCAUCCAAAGUCAAGUAAUUGGACUAGAAUAAUUAAUGGGCUUUGAGGUAAGGCCCAUAUGAGGAGUUGGGCCCAAUUUGGAAAAUUAGGCCAUAGACGGACCACAGUUUGGGCCUUAAUGAUUCUAUGAUGUCGGGCAUUAGAAUAAGACAAUGUAUAGGUCUGGGGCCCAAUUUGGAAAAUUGGGCCAUAUGUUGGACUUUGGCCUAUUAUUUGAUUAUUUGGGCUUUUAGAGUGUGAGUUGGACCUUGGUCUUGGAACCCAAUUAUUAAUUGGGUGUUGUUUGAUGUUGACAGCUCGAGAAUCUGUCAACCAAUAUCUGGAGUUUUAUCUGUGGGACUUCAGCAAUGCCAGGUGAGUUAUUCUCGCUAUACUCAAGGGUCUAAGGCACCAAGGCCGGCCCUUUGAAUUGUUACUGGUUGUGUUAUUCUAGUAUGAUUUGUUAGAUCGGUAUCCUAGAGGGUUGGAUGAUAAUAUGUGAUAUGUGGUAUGACCUGUUAGUUAGACAUCCUAGAGGGUAGGAUAAUAUUAUAUGUUAUGUGGUAUGAUCUGGUAGACCAGUUUGUUGUCUAUAGACUGUUAUGUGAUUGUCUGUUAUAUGUGCACAUGUUUGUUUGGCGGUUGAGGUUUAUCUGCUUUGUGCGAAAGCCAAUAGACCUGGGCAUUCCAACCUGUUGGUUGUGGGCCGUGAGUAUUCCAUCCCGAGGAUGACUAGACUCAUAGUAUGUGGGCAUGCCAACAUGUUGGUUGUGGGCCUAGGGUAUUCCAACCUGAUGGUUGAUUGGACCCAUAGUGUGUUGGCAUUCCAACCUGUUGGUUGUGGGCCUAGGGUAUUCCAACCCGAUGGUUGAUUGGACCCAUAGUAUGUUGUUUAUGAUUAUAUGUGUAUUGUUGUGGGUAUGAGUAUAUUGGGGGAAGUCACUAAGCUUUCGGGCUUACAGUUUUAGUUUAUUGUUUUAGGUGCAUCAGGGGAUCGUGGCAAGGCAAAGGCGUGAUCGUACAACUCCUCGUAGUUCAUGAUUUUAUGAUUUGAUUCAGGGGAUACUCUGAUGAUUAAACUAUUUUGAAAACAAACUGUAAUAACUUAAUGGUUUUAAAUGUUCUAAAAUUUUUUAAAUUGGAUUGAAUUUUAUGGGUGUUACAAGUUGAUAUUAGAGCCUUGGUUUGAGUGAAUUGGAGGAGCACUCGUAUAACUCCAGUCUCAAAUCAAGGAAAGGAUUUUCAAAAUGAUUUUUAAAUGGUUUUCAAAAUAAGUAAAGGAGGAUACAGGGUGUACGAUCAACCGGAUCCAGUAAGUAGACCCCAAAAUACCAUACAAUAUUUGAUUAUGUGAUAUGUUAGAACAACAUGCUAGUGCUAGGCUAGGGAUCUUCAGGAAUUGCAUGAUAGGAUUGCUUGAUUACAUGAUGCAUGCUAGCCUAGGGUUUCCUUUAUAUGAGAUUGACAUCAUUACUGUAGUUGCUUAGUGUAUGCAUCACGAUUAUGCAUAAUUAAGAUCUUAUAGACUGAGAAUGCUUGAUUUGGCCUUAUGUUCUGUUCUUGUUUGAUUGGGAGCUUAGGGUGGGAUUGGAUAUUCGAAAGUCUAUAGGCCAGAGUUAUNUGGCUAGCAUACACUAGUGUUGCAGGGUUGGUGGAAGUUUCAUGGAUGGGUGGGUUGUGUGAGGUCGGGAGGCCAGUUAUGUAAUAUUUAGUAUUCCUCUAGGAGUGAGGAUUGAGUGCUCGCUAUGAUUAUGUAUAUUGUUAGGGUGUUGUGGUGAUACUUGAGACAAAUAUGGGUAGGUGUGGAAGGUAGUAUGGGCAUGUACUACUGAAAGCACAUGACACAUACGCGUAGCAAGGAAGUCACAACCCCUAGGGUUGGGCUUGUGAGUUGGUCCCCGAUCAUUAUAUGGAUUAUCAGAGAUAUUUAUGGUAUUUUACCAGAAUGGUGGUUACGAAACGUAUUGAGAAUGGAUCCGGGUUAGGAUCGGGGAGCUGGUAGCCAGGAUAGGCCAACAUUGUCAGAGGAUCGUGUCAUUGGGAUCAUCUGGGAGGAGGUGAUCGAGAUUGUCCAGGGACAGUUGCCGGAGAUGUUUGGGUCUAUCAAGACGGCCAUGGUUGAGUAAUUCACCGAGCACUAUGCAGCCAUUGCUGAGACGGUUGUCGCGGCAGCUAUAGCAGCUGUAACGAUAACAAGAGGGAGGAGCUGGUUGAGCUUUCCAGUACCGGGACUUGUUACUGGGACAUAUUCUGAUGAGCAGAGGGUUGCAGUUACUUGGGACUAGGGAGAUAUUCUGUACUCGUUACAUUCCGCUAGUUGAGAGGGAGAGUCUAGCACAUGAGUUUCUAGAUUUGAGGCUUUGGGGGUUUUGCUUGAGGCCGGAAUGUGAGUUGCGAGGACUCCGGAAAGGAGUGAUGUUUAUGUUCAGCUGGGGUUUUGCACCUGGAAGUGGAAUGGUUAAUUGAUGGAUUGGAUUGUCGUUUUCUAGAGUAAGGAUUGUGCCCUCUCAGUUUUUCGAUCUCAAAGGAGUGAGCAGGCUUGUGACCCCAGGAUCAGGUUGUACUCUAGCUCGUGUUUAGUUGGUUGCAGGGAUAGACAACAUUAUUUCAGCGUCGGUGAGCGCAGGUGGGUCGAUAUGGCAUAAGUAAUUUGUGAGGUCCAGUUUUCCUUGGAUCUCAUGUAUCAGACAGUAAGGAAUGAUUGUGCGAUCUAUUGCACUUUUGGGAUUGUAGACUAUGUCCUGGUAGUAGUUUGUGGCCGAUUUGGGGCAAGGUUGUUUCAGCUACUGCAGUUCAACUAUGGAUGAUCGAGCUGGUGAGUGAGUUAGGGUGCGAGACUCUGAAUGAUAUGAUUUCUGGAGCCGAGAGCAGAAGAUUUCUUGGAGUACUUUGGGAAGAAGGGCAUUAUGUGGGAGGUCUGUGGAUGGGGUCCCACAUGAUGGUUAUUCAGCAUUGUCAGAAUUCAGUGGUUUUAGUAACUGUUAUUGAUUGACGGAUGAAAGCGCCAAAGGAAGUAGCUCGUUGUUAAGGUGUUUAUGGGAGUAUCUGUCUUUUGGUCUUCAAGAUUUGAGUGUGGGAUCAUUAAAUUAUUAGGGACUGUCAGUUUUACUGGAAUUCAGGAAGUGUUCAUCUAGUUAUUAAAGGCAUGUGAUCAUUUGGGAUUGGCUAGUAAAGGAGUACUAAUUCGAAAGGUCUGGUUGUCAUGAGAUUGAUCGUUGGAAAGUAAGAAGGAUUGGGAAUUCCAAAAUUUUCAUGUAUUAUGAAGACUUAGUUGAAUCUAAGUGGGAGAGAAUCUUCCCGGAACGCAGAAGCAGGAUCGUUUUUAAAACUGGGAUAAGUUUUGCAUCGUUGUUAGGAAGGAGGACAAGCCAAGUGGUUGUUCGGGUUUGAGGGUUGUAUAAGUUAGGAGUCCAGUAAAACUCCCCAGCAUGUAAAGUGCGUCUUCUCGAUGCUUGAUAACAGAACUUGGGGAAUUAGGUUGGGGUUCUAGCCAUGAAUUAAGCUUAGUUGUGUGUUAGGUCAAGUGCAUGUUCGACCGGUAUGGAAAGUGUUGUAAGACUGCGGGGGUAGCCGUAGCAUUCACUAGCAGCAAAUAGUGCUAGAGUGAUGUAAGUCUGUGGGUGUAGCCGUAACAUUUACUAGGUUGGUAGAUAGCAUGAGCGCGUUGUUAGGAUGCGGAAGGGUCAGUAGUAACCACCAGUUCAGGUGUAGCAGUGAGGAUAUGGAAACCCAUGGAUUGGAUUUCGGAAUUACCCAGACAGAUAGGAUCGGGUUGAGCCAGUGAUAGGAUUGUAGGAACGCCACUAUAGUUCAGAGAUCAAGGAAGCAAGGAAUUGCUUAAGGUCGUUUGUGAUAAAAGUCUACCAUUGGUCUGGUAGCAAUCAGUUUUAGCCUUGGAUUUGGUGACGUCAGGAUUUGACGCAUGGGUCCGAUUGGUUGGAUCAGGAAGUUGUUAGAGUCGUAGUGGCAUGAUAACUAUUGGCAACUAGUUCCAAGGAAGGAUUUCGUUCGGAAGUCGUGUGAGGCAACUAUGUGGGAAUGCUUUAGCUCCGCGACCGGGCCGGAACCCGGUAUUUCGGAUGAGUGUUACUUGGUUGUGGCGAAUCAGAGGAUUUUUUGGAUGAGAUGCAAGGAUAGGACCUUGGAUUUCAAGUUAUGGGUUAGACUCGAGUUAUGUAUAUAGUGGUAUUCCAAUCUAGGGUAUUCCAUCAUAAGGAUGAUCGUACCCUACGAUUGAGUGGACCAAACAUGUGUGUGAUACGAGGGUAUUCCAUCCUAGGGAUGACUGGACCAAUCGUAGACAUGCCUGGUAUUCCAGCCCAAGGCUGAUUGGGCCAGGUAUGAGUAUUUGUGCUUAUGAGCCGAUUAUUAUAUGUAUGUGAUUUGGGAACUAAAGGAAAUAUUGUCUUGUUGAUCCAAAAAGUGGUUCAUCUCCCAGUUUUCACCCCGCUGUUCUUUAUAUCCCUGGGAAUUGAUUUCCAGAAUAAGUUUCUCGUGAAGGAGUACGUAAUCCCUUGUCAAGAAAAAGAUCAUAGUUAGCAGUGUGGGAUUUGUGAUUCUGUUUUCUAGUGGGAACCUCAGGUUAUCAGAAGUUGAGCAGCCAGUUGGGGGUUAAGUGCAAUGCAUUCGAAAAUGAUCCGGUGUGGGCAGUUUGUCAGAGAGCCAGACCAUCUCGAGACUCUAGAUUUCAGAUUGAGUAAAUGUGAUCAUAUGGUAAGGGAUUCAUUUAUUUUCCUGGUUUUAGAACCCUGAGAGGGUUGGAUAUGGUUGCCUUGGAGAGGUAAGAGUUUUGCUCGGGGUUAUAGCCAAGUAGCUCAAGUUGUUUGGCAUGUAAGGAAUGAUAAGAAAUGAUUUUGAGGACUAAAUCAAAUUGAAGUGGGGGAGAGUUGUAACACCCCGUUUUAAAUAGAAUAAUUAAAUGGUUAGUGGGGUGUUGGUUUUGGGAAGUCAAAUGGCAAGAAUUGAAUCUCCACGGGUUAAAGUGUAAUUUAGGGACUUAAUUUUUAAAGGUUUUCAUAAGUCAAGGAGUGUUUGGUAUUAUUUGGGCUUAAUAUGUAAAGAACUAUGGAUACAGGGGUAAAGAGUAAAUAUCAGACUUAAAUUGAAAGGUUUUGGAUGGUUGGGGGCUGUUUGGUAAUUUAUGGGUCGAAUUUGAAAAGGAUUUUCGAGGUUAGGGCAGAAAGGGUAAAAUAUGGCCUCAUUUUGAAAGAAUAAGAAAAGGGAGGGACCAAAGUUGUUGUUAUGGAGAAAAUUUUGAUGGGAUACAAGACUAUAAAACCCAUCACCCGUUAACCCUAACCCUAGCAUGAAGGCAGCCACCAUCGUCGAAGGACCUCCAGCAGCCACCCUCACCUCUUCUCAUCUCCAGUCACCGGAGCCAACCCUACUACGUCAAAAAGAAAGCAAGACCGUCAGAGGUUGAUGUUGUGGAUCACCGCCGCCGUUCCUUGAGUAGUUACGUCGCCGCCUCCCAUCUCCGCUGUCAAGGUCGCAAAUGGCGUUCCUGGUAAGGACGUCUUUGCCAAGGUCCCAUGGCCGCCGAUGACAACAACCUUUACUAUCGCUGUUACCAGUCGCGGAUAGAGAAAAGACCCUAUCGAUCCUUCUUCCUUGUUUCUGUUCCGGCGGUACGCUGCUACUAUUCCAUUGCCAUCCGACCGCCACCUCCCUGCUUAGGAGUGCUGAUCGGGUAAUUUUUUCGGGUAAUUUGGGUUUAGGUAGUUCGGGUAUUACCCGAAAUAUAUAAUUUUUUUUUUUGAAUUUCACCUAUAAAUAAAUUUAAUGAAAUAAAUACGUCGUGCUUUAUUAGUCGUGUUUAUAUAAACAAACGAGAAAUAAACAAACUUACUCAAGCUUUGAACAUUGAGAUUUUUUAGUCAAUAAUACCUGAGAUAUCAAGUAAUUUUUUAACAACUUAAUCUAAUCUAAUAAGAUGUUAAAAAAACAAAUACUUAAAGAUCUUAAUUUAAAAGUUUAAAAUGUUUAAGAUAAUUGUAGCCAUAAGUUUUUUUAUGUUUUGAAGUUUCGUCAAGAUAAUGAGUUUGUUAGUUGCAAUAAAAACUAUAAUCUAGAAAACAGUUAAGUUUUAAAGAACAUGAUGAUAUAUAAACAAUUACUUUUAAUAUUGUUAGUGUCAUAUUGUCAUAAUAAAUAGAUUCAUGUUUUUACAAUAAUGAUAGUUAAUUUAAGCAUGAUCAAAUACCUGCUAUAUAGUACAAGCUCUAAAAAUAAGGAAUUUUUAAAAUAAUUCGGGUAAUUCGGAUAUACCCGAAACCCAAACAAUGUACCCUUUACCCGACCCGAAAAAAAAAUUGGGUUACCCAAUUACCCGAAAAAAUUUACCCGAUACCCGAUUUACCUGAUACCUGAAAAAAUCGGGCGGGUAAUUCGGGUAUCGGGUAUUUUCAACAGGGUUGUCCCUGCUGUUACCACGCCACAACCAUCACCGUUGAAGACAAAGGGCCGCCAUGGAGCGCCAAGGCAGUAUGUGACCGGAGGAGACCCUUGGUUGGUUGUCGUUGAUGGUUUGUUGCUGCCAACGUGAAUCAGCCGCUUGCUCCGACUGUCAUACGCCGAAACGCAAAGGUUGUGCUGAAGUGUUGUAUUGUGACAACCGUCAAACUCUGGUCAAGUCAAAGUCAACUAAAGUCAACAAGUCAAACCGGUCGACUCAAUUAACCCUUGGGUACUAGGGCUUACGUUAGGUAAUUACUAUACAACUCGCUAUUCCAAUGAGAAAUCAUCAAUGGAAAAGUUCGUAUAUCUAGAUUUCAUUAACCUAAAACUGCGUUAAGUAAUGAACCAAACCGAUAAAACAAUGUUGCGUACUCAUCAGGAGUGUGUAAGAUUCUUAAACAUGGCUUAACGGGGUUUACGGACCUUGCGUUGCGAAGCCGGACACUCAUAAAUGUCACACACGAAACCUCUCUCAAUCGUUUUCACUAUAUGUCUCUUUAUUUAGAAUCUCUCCCAAAUCUCUCUAAGUAUGUGAAAUCUCUCCCAAAUCUCUCUCAGUAUGAGAAAUCUCUUCAAGAAUGUCAAAUCUCUCCCAAAUCUAUCCAAGUAUGUGAAAUCUCUCCCAAAUCUCUCUCAGUAUGAGAAAUCUCUUCAAGAAUGUCAAAUCUCUCCCAAAUCUAUCCAAGUAUGUGAAAUCUCUCCCAAAUCUCUCUCAGUAUGAGAAAUCUCUUCAAGAAUGUCAAAUCUCUCCCAAAUCUAUCCAAGUAUGUGAAAUCUCUCCCAAAUCUCUCUCAACUUUUCGUAAUUAUUUGGGGCAUCUCGACCCUCGAAUUUGAUGAAAACAGCUCGAAAACGGAAGUCUACGCGAAAAACAGCCUUAAGGAGCCGAAACUCCUCUUAGGAACCGAAACUCCUCUUAGAGCCGAACCUCAUGAGAACCAAAACCCUCUCAACCGAAAUGGACCGAGCACUCGGUCUAUUUCGGUCCCCUGAUCAUUUCGAAGCGAGACUCUGCCCUUCCCACCUUCGGCCCGAGAGGGCUUGACCUUCAGUCCGAGGACCUGACUCUCGGUCCCUUCUGAUGAGCAUGUCUGCGAGACCUCUCGGUUCCCAUGCAUCCGAGCCUCACCUUCGGUCCGAGAGGCGACCUGCGCAGCCGAACCCUCCUCUCUCGGUUUCUUCUCCUGCUCUCGGUUCUAAGCUCCUAAGGAGCCGAACCUUCGCAUCCUCGGCCCAAAUUUCGGAAUUUGGCAGUUUUGCCUGGUUUUCAAUAUUUUUAGUGUUUUGAGCCCGUUUUUUGAGAUUUUAACGCGGGAUUUUCACCCAAACUCGUAUUUUAACAUAAUAAACCCCAAAUAUUCGUAUUUUAAUUAUAUUUUGGGGAAAAUCCUUGCCUAAGAAUAAAAUCUAGUAGGUAAGAUUUAAGGGUGGAGUGUUGACUUUGCCUUAGUGUAUGACACAAGCAACCUCCCCACAACUUCAUAAUACAACCUCUAGUCACUAUUUGUGUUAGAUCUUCAAAUCUUCAAGCACCUCUCAAGUGUUCUUGAGUUGAACACUUCUUUUCUCCAUCAUCCAUCUACUGAAAUCACUCAAGGUGAGUUCAUACCCUUAUCUUUUCAUGUUUUUCUCAAGUUUUAAAGGGGGGGGGGGGGGGGGAAUACAAGUUAAAACACCAAGAACACAACUAAACUUAUUUAACAGCCUUCAUCAGAAAAGUUCAACUUCAUUCACCGACUGUUUUGGGCAACUUAAAAAUUUUAGUUUUCAAAACUGUUUUAGGUGCAAGUCUUUACAGUUCUUAGCUUUAAAAUGACUACUUGCACACCUCCAUACGAUUUUUCUACAAUUUAUGGUGAUUUUUACAAAACUGCCUAUCAUUUCAAGAGCAAAUCUGGACCAGUCUGUGAUUAUAGACUUUUUCACACAUGUUGUAGACCAUUAAAAAUCAUGACCAAAUUUAUGAACAAACUAGACUCAUUCCUCAAACUCUCAAAACUUAUGGAUUCUGAUUUGGACCUUUGAUAAUUUUUCUAUAAAUUUUCUAAUAACAGAAAAGAAAAUGUUAACAACAGAAAAAUGCUAUCAAUUUCAUUUCACCUUGUAACAUGUUGAGCAAGGUGUAUAUCUUUAUGUGAAUAUAUGUUAUUGCAAAUAGAUGACAUUUUGUCUUAGUAUAUAGUCAUACAUCAGAAAACAAAUGGAUUUUUACCUACAAAAGUAUGGUAAUUAAUUAGUUGUUAUAUUGCAUGUGGCUUCACUUUAGAAAAAGGUAUAUCUACAUAUCGGUAAACAAAAGGGUUUUUACCUUCACAAAUACAGUAGUUAACCAUAAUAAACAAAGUUAUAACUAUUACAUUUGAAUAUUUUGAUAAACUAUAAUAGGUAUGGUUUAUGUUUCUAUUAACACAACAAACACAUUUUAGAAGGUUCUAUUCCCACAGAUAAAGGUUUUACACUCACGCACACCACAUGUAAACUUGUUAACUUAAAUCAUGAGACAUUCUUCUCUAUACUCCUAGAGUACGGGUUAAAAUUCCUGGUAGUUAUAACCAGAGUCUCUUGUAGGGAGAACGUGAUAGUUGUGUAUAGAUCUACAUUGGGUUUGACACCCCACACCUUGUUGCUAGCUACAGUGGGACCUGCAGGUCUACGGUUGACAAAUGUCAUAACAGUUUUCGACGCCUGAUAAACGUCGUGGCAGGUUCAUUAAGUCGUAGUAUGGUUAUAGCGGCUCAUAUAGGGAGUUAACAACACGUAAAGUUUACGGGGAUUUUCAUAAAUCAAAAGGGGUUUUAUGUCGAUUUAAAAUCACUUUUUAUAUCAAUAAUUACAUAUAUUAUUGUAUACUUUCGUUCUUGGUAUUUAAGACUACACACCAUUCAUUACGGGAUUUUUCUCAUAUUAGAAAGGGUUUUACGCCAAUUUAAAACCACUUUUAUAUCUUUAAGUUUGACAAAUACUUGUUCAUUCUCGGUCUUGGUAUUUAGGACCACAUAACUUUUAUAAGGAAAAUAUUGGAUUUUUCUUGGAAACAUACAACUCAUUACAAGGAUUGAUUUUCAAGCUCUUACUAUCAAAAGCUUAUGAACUCACCAACUUAAUUUUUGACACUUUUUCAAAACUACUUGUAUUCUCAGGAAUCAAUGAAAUAGGAAAUCAACAGCGUUUUGAGGAUGUGACGAUAAAUCGUCAAACAGUUCAUUUUGUUAUCAUAAUGUAAUUGAUUUGAAUCAUGUAAACAUAUGCUUUGGUGUAACUUUUUCAAUUAUAUUUAUGAAUGGUUGUAUUUACUUUGAGCACUAUCAUACUCGUUGUUGUGAUAGUAUACAUAAAGUCCGCCACCCCCGGACGUUUCCGCCAUCCUUGGUUUGGGGGUGUGACAAAUUGGUAUCAGAGCACAGUUUAUAGUGAAUUAAGUAUAUCGAACCACAUAAGAUAUACAAACUAUAAACACAUUUGGGACUAAAAGUCUCUGAUUUUAAAACGUUUUAAUAGGGUAUACUUUUAGAAAAUAAAUAGUUUUCUUGUUUAAAGUAGUCAUACUUGGAUUCAUACUAACCUACGUGUCACAAUGACCAGAACAAAAGUAUUACAAUUGUUGAAUAUCAUAGGUAAGCUCGGGGAUGUAUGAUCAGUCUUGGGAGUGGCAUAGCCUGAUCAACUAUGCUGGUCCGAGGAGUGAUUAGCACAUGCCCAAGAAUGGUUGUGAUAUGGCGACAAGUCUAAAAACUUACCAACACUACCACAACGAGAACAUUAGAACAGAACAUGGGUUUAAAAUACUAUGGGAGUAUUUUGUGUUACUAUAAGUGCUUACAUGAGAACUAAACAGGUCUCUAUCAAGUAGGUCAAUAGUUGUUAAGUGGAUACGCUAACGUUAUAUGAAAUUUAGGCGUUAUAGACUCAGAAUCUAUGACCGUUGCUUUACUUCCUGUUCUCGUUGGAUUGUGGAUUUGGAGUUAGAGUCACCUAUUCGAAGGACUAUCUUGCCUUGAUUUCAUAUAACUGGUAUACACUUAGAGAUGCACAAACCCAGGAUCCGAUCGGAUCCGGUCAACAAUCCGAUCUGGUCCAAUCCGAUCCGAAUCCGGUCAAAAUCCGAUCCGAAUCUGGUCAACAAUCCGAAUCCGAUUUGAAACCGGUUUGAUCCGAAUUUUGUUAGCUUUUACCAAAUUUUUCGACGGUUUAAGAACCGGUUUUUGUAGAAUCCGGUUUGUGAUCCGGGGGUCAAUCCGAUUUCGAGUCCGAAAAGCCAAACCGGUUUUAAUCCGGUCACCGGUUUAAUCCGAUCCGGUUUGGUCAAAACCGGUUUUGACCGAAACCGGAUUUCGGAUCGAAUCGGUUUCAUUUCGAGGAUCUGGAUUUUGUGUUCAUCUCUAUAUACACUACACAAGUAUUGAUAUAAAUGAUACAGAUCAUCUAAUAAUUACCUAGAUAGUUCGUCCAAUAAUUAUCUUCUUACUCCUAUUCUCGCACGUAUAACAUAGCAAGAUCCUACUUACUAGACGACCCCUACUUUCCCAACCAGAGAAAUGGUGAAUGGUUAUGAGAAGAAUCAGAAGCGGAACCGGAGGUAAUCAACCCUCCAUGCAUAGCUAGGGUUGUCGUGAAUCGUUUCGACUACAUCGAACUUGUGCCCCGUUGGGCAACCGUGAUCGAGGGUUGAAGUCGACAACAAUGACAACGAUCACCAUGUGGGGACCAACGAGGGUGCUAUGACCUCAUCCACGGGGGACUGACUGACAGAGCCCUCCCGACGAAGACCUGGUAGAUCGCGAACAUCGGGGAUUAAAACAGGGAGACUGCAAACCGAGUUCGAAAAUUACACGCUACUACAGACCCCACCGUCUCACGUAGCCGAGACUCGGGAAGAGACUACUAUUUCAGAGACCAACUCUCUUUUCAGGACCUUAUCGCCACUCGGACAGAGGCAAGAGAGUAACAGGGUAGACACACGUCAUUCAAAGAGAGGAUGAUUGCAGCCAAGCAUCGAUUGGCAAAGCUGCAAGGUGCAUCGACUUUGCCUCGGGCAUCACAAGGGACGGAUCGUCAUGAGUAGGUUCAUACCACUCACAAGACCUUGUAAAUUAAGUUCAUGAGUAUGCGUUGGUGCUACUCUAUUCUAGGUGAAAGCACGACACUGCAAUUUAAGUAGUCAUACUAAUCGAGAGAUCUAGUUGCUAUCAAAACUUUUCCUUGCAUGGAUGUGAGACAGACCUGCAUCGAGGUCAAAAAUUUUCGCUGAAACCAUAAUUACUAGAAUCAUAUUAACAAGAUGGGCUUAGGACAUACCUAACAGACUCGAAGGUCUAUUUAGUCUUAAUUAUAUAACUAAGCAUACAUCAAUUGGUCAUAAUAGGGACCUAGCUUGGGUCAAAUUACAAGAUUUCACUUAGAUACAGAACUACUAAAAUACAUGAGUUUACCAUAUAAAGACUCUUGUUAUAAACUGUUUUUAGAACACCCUUAACAACCGAAAUACGUUACAAAUUGAACUAAGAUCGAUAAACUUAGUUAGAAAACUCGUGACAUAUAGCCAUUCUAAAGACUCGUUACCGUCUCUCCCCUUAAACCUUAUGAUUGAUGGGAUGCUUUCUUCGUAGACCUAUAGGGUGCGAUCAUACCAGCACUAAGGCACCGGAUCCCAUCAAAACUCCUCAGCUAAGUGUGCUUGGGCAAACAUGAUCCUAAGAUGAGUAAAGCUUAACACCUGUACGCAACCUACUUCUACCCACUACCAUAACUCCGUCUUAAGAACGUUAGCAAAGACACUAAGAAUAAUACAGCAAUGUACAAAAGUUAUAUAUGUGAAUAUAAAUCGUAAAAGUGCACUUUAGAUAAUUACCCCCACUUACGAAGUUGUCUUCAUCGUGAAAUAGAGCUAUGUCUUCACCAAGAGGCAACCAACCAACUAGCAAGGCGCCAACCCUACAAAUAGAUUCUGCUACUUUUCAAGCUGUAGUCACGGCAGCCGUGACAGCCGUCAUGGUGCAACUCAAUGCUAACAAUCCCAGCAGAGAUGGAAACGGUGCCGACAAUACAAAUUGUUGUAACAAACAGGAACACCGGCGGGUGUCUGCCCAUGAAGGGGCCUCAUGCAACAAAACUACGAACAAGAAGCAAAAGUUUUGGAACAAAAAGGAACGCAACCAAUCUCAAAGAUUCGCUAAAAGACAACAACCCAUGGCCACCCCUGCCGUUACAACAGCAGUCACGCCACAUGCCUCGACAUUAGCCACAAGAGCUGUCAUCCAAGCACCGACCAGACCAUAUAAGGGAUCACUUCCAAAGUGUAACAAAUGUAACUACCAUUGUAUAGGAGCUUGUUGGAUUCCACACUAUAUCAACUGCAACAGGAAAGGACAUACCGCUCGCUCCUGCAGAACCCCGACUCAACACAUCAGUUCCACCACCAAUACCAAUGUAAGUCCAGCAUGCCAACUAUGUGGUGAAAUGGGACACUUCAAGAGAGACUGCCCAAUGGAGAGGAAUGACGGGAGAGCCGGAGGAGUGUGACAAACGAACCAUCAAGGGUAACAAGGAAUCUUAUUAGGACUUUUUUAAUAUUUCCAAACGACAAAACAUUUAAGUACCAUAUGUUUGUAAUGAAUUCGGUAUGCUUGCUAGAAUUUCAUCCUUCAAAAAGUAGUUAAGGUACUCUCUCAUUUAAAUCAAAUCAAAGACACUCAUAUAUGGCCUUAAAAUCAUUACCUGUAAGCUGUGAUGACUUUGUACACACAUCGGGGUAAUUCUAAUCAAAAUACUAAAGACAUAAAGCAAAUAAUUCCGUUUUGACAUCAUGUUCCAUGUCUAGAAGUGGGAUUAGGGUAGAGCCACCCACUCGACGAUUCCACCAAUACCAAAUUUACAUACGACGUACAUAUACCGCCCGAUCAUGGAGUGACCGUCAGGGGUCAUGAUAUCAAGUGUCAUUACUAGCUAUUGGAACACACCCACUACCAGUGCUAGGCACUGUGGUAUGAAUCAUCUACAGUAACAAUAACAUCGAACAAAACGGAACACACUAAAAAGAAACACAAGAUACUCCAUCACUCCAGCGAACACUCUGUAUGAAUGCAGAUUAACACAUGUUCUACCUAAAAAGAUACUAUUGUCAUCAUUCGAUCUCAAAUGGUAUAGUUCUCCACCUUCCCGAUUAAACGGCUAUGAAAGGACCCUUCACGUGAACCAUCGAAUAUCAAAACCUUCACCUCCUAUAAACACAUCCAGCGCGGACCUCCGGGUCAUCUCUCACUGUGAAAACCCCAAAACACUCACUAGAGGAGUGUUAUACCUUCCGAAACCUUAUAACAAGUAUUUCCAGGAGACCCUUCGGGAAUGUCACAGAUACAACAGACAAGGUUCAAGCACAGAAGCUUGGGAUGGAUACGGUUAGUCUACCACUACUACGUGUAUACGUGAGGAUAAUGUAUAAUUAAGAUUCUAUGGACAUUGGAUGUGUGCUUCCGCGCUAUUUCCUGUUCCUUGUCUGGUUGUGGACUUGGGGUAGAGUCGCUCAUCCAACUGUCUUGCCAACCUUAAGUACAUACGACCUAUAUGCUCAAGUUAAUGAUAGAUGGACCAGGUACGAGUCUUGCCAUGAACUUCAGGUCAAGGUUGCCCAAUAGGACGAGUGAACGUCCUACCAUCCGAACAAGUCUAGUCGCGUAAACCAACCCCUCAUGCUUCCUACCGAGAUAAGCAAUCGAGGAACACUACAUCAGGCCCUAUGCAACGCUCCAAGGAUAAGUUAUUACUUAUGACUUGAGACAGCUAAAGACGUACGAGGCCAGCUAGGUAACGCAUGACCUCAAACUAGGAGCGGUAGUGUUCGCCCUAGAGGUCUAGAGGCACCAUCCCUACGAAACGAAGCAUACAAUCUUCACCGAUCAUAAGAACCUAGAAGGCACAGACGGCGGGGCAUGUUAUCCUAUGAAUUGGAUCUGGACACCGAGGUUGAUGGAUUUAGAAAUAAUAUCACGAAUGAAGCACACAAAAACUCGCUACUCCCUUCAUCCAGGCUCGGACAAGAUGUGUCUGGACCUCAAAAAGUAACAUCAGUGGAUGAAUAGGAAAGCUGACAUCGCUACACAUGCGGGCAAGUAUUGGACUUGUGCCAACGUCAAGGUAGAAUAAAGGAAGCCUUCGCGUCUCCUACAACAACCAGUGAUACCUGAAAGGAAGUGGGAGCAGCAAACCGUGGGCUUCAUAACCAAGCUACCCAAGACAAUAGAUGGUCUCGAUACCAUUUGGGUAACCGUCCGCAGACUGGACAAAUCCUCACACUCCUACUAAUCAAAGAAACCGACAGGAUGGAGGAAUCGACUAGAACUUACAUCAAAGAGAUUAUGCGACCGCAGGGUCUGUUAAUAUCUGUUAUCUUUGACAGAGAUAGUAGGUUCAUUUAGCUAUUCCAAUGAGAAAUCAUCAAUGGAAAAGUUUGUAUAUCUAGAUUUCAUUAACCUAAAACUACGUUAAGUAAUCAAAGAGAUUAUGCGACAUGAUAUUAACAGACCCUGCAGUCGCUAUUCCAAUGAGAAAUCAUCAAUGGAAAAGUUCGUAUAUCUAGAUUUCAUUAACCUAAAACUACGUUAAGUACUGAACCAAACCAAUAAAACAAUGUUGCGUACUCAUCGGGAGUGUGUAAGAUUCUUAAACAUGGCUUAAUGGGGUUUACGGACCUUGCGUUGCGAAGCCGGACACUCACAAAUGUCACACACGAAACCUCUCUCAAUCGUUUUCACUCUAUGUCUCUCUAUUUAGAAUCUCUCCCAAAUCUCUCUUUGUAUGAUAAAUCUCUACAAGAAUGUGAAAUCUCUCCCAAAUCUCUCUCUAUAUGACAAAUCUCUCCAAGAAUGUGAAAUCUCUCCCAAAUCUCUCUCUAUAUGAGAAAUCUCUCCAAGAAUGUGACAUCUCUCCCAAAUCUCUCCAAGUAUGUGAAAUCUCUCCCAAAUCUCUUUGUAUGAGAAAUCUCUCCAAGAAUGUCAAAUCUCUCCCAAAUCUCUCCAAGUAUGUGAAAUCUCUCCAAAAUCUCUCUCAGUAUAAGAAAUCUCUCCAAGAAUGUCAAAUCUCUCCCAAAUCUCUCCAAGUAUGUGAAAUCUCUCCCAAAUCUCUCUCAAAAUCUCUCUCAACUUUUCGUAAUCAUUUGGGGCAUCUCGACCCUCAAAUUUGAUGAAAACAGCUCGAAAACGGAAGUCUACGCGAAAAACAGCCUUAAGGAGCCGAAACUCCUCUUAGGAGCCGAACCUCUUAGAGCCGAACCUCCUGAGAACCGAAACCCUCUCAACCGAAAUGGACCGAGCACUCGGUCUAUUUCGGUCCCCUGAUCAUUUCGAAUCGAGACUCUACCCUUCCCACCUUUGGCCCAAGAGGGCUUGACCUUCGGUCCGAGGACCUGACUCUCGGUCCCUUCUGAUGAGCAUGUCUGCGAGACCUCUCGGUUCCCAUGCAUUCGAGCCUCACCUUCGGUCCGAGAGGUGACCCGGGCAGCUGAACCCUCCUCUCUCGGUGUCUUCUCCUGCUCUCGGUUCUAAGCUCCUAAGGAGCCGAACCUUUGCAUCCUCGGCCCAAAUUUCGGAAUUUGGCAGUUUUUGCCCAGUUUUCAAUAUUUUUAGCGUUUUGAGCCCAUUUUUCGAGAUUUUAACGUAGGGUUUUCACCCAAACUCGUAUUUUAACAUAAUAAACCCCAAAUAUUCAUAUUUUAAUUAUAUUUUGGGGAAAUUCCUUGCCUAAGAAUAAAAUCUAGUAGGUAAGAUUUAUGGAUGGAGUGUUGACGUUGCCUUAGUGUAUGACACAAGCAACCUCCCCAUACCUUCAUAGUACAACCCCUAGUCACUAUUCACCCAUACCUAGUCAAUCAUUGUCAUUUUCCCACUCUUUUUUAGCCAUAAUGUUGAACAACAGCUAGAAAACCCUCCUCUCUCCUCACAUUACUCCAUUUUUCCACCAAGUGACAACUUCAUUUUCUCUCACUCCCUCUCUCUAAGAUUUCGAGAUUCAAGGCUUGUUUCCAAGCUUUUCUUCUACAUUUGGUAAGUAUAUUCCUCUUACACUUAGAUAUUCUACUAUCUUUCAUCGAAAUCAUAGAUUGAUUACACAAACAUCGUCAUAUUUGUGUUAGAUCUUCAAAUCUUCAAGCACCUCUCAAGUGUUCUUGAGUUGAACACUUCUUUUCUCCAUCAUCCAUCUACUGAAAUCACUCAAGGUGAGUUCAUACCCUUAUCUUUUCAUGUUUUUCUCAAGUUUUAGGGGGGGGGGGGAUACAAGUUAAAACACCAAGAACACAACUAAACUUAUUUAACAGCCUUCAUCAGAAAAGUUCAACUUCAUUCACCGACUGUUUAGGGCAACUUAACAAUUUUAGUUUUCAAAACUAUUUUAGGUGCAAGUCUUUACAGUUCUUAGCUUUAAAAUGACUACUUUCACACCUCCAUACAUUUUUUCUACAAUUUAUGGUGAUUUUUACAAAACUGCCUAUCAUUUCAAGAGCAAAUCCGGACUAGUCUGUGAUUAUGGACUUUUUCACACAUGUUGUAUACCAUUAAAAAUCAUGACCAAAUUUAUUAACAAACUAGACUCAUUCCUCAAACUCUCAGAACUUAUGGAUUCUGAUUUGGACCUUUGAUAAUUUUUCUAUAAAUUUUCUAAUAACAGAAAAGAAAAUGUUAACAACAGAAAAAUGCUAUCAAUUUCAUUUCACCUUGUAACAUGUUGAGCAAAGUGUAUAUCUUUAUGUGAAUAUAUGUUAUUGCAACUAGAUGACAUUUUUUCUUAGUAUAUAGUCAUACAUCAGAAAACAAAUGGAUUUUUACCUACAAAAGUAUGGUAAUUAAUUAGUUGUUAUAUUGCAUGUGGCUUCACUUUAGAAAAAGGUAUAUAUAUAUACAUAUCGGUAAACAAAAGGGUUUUUACCUUCACAAAUACAGUAGUUAACCAUAAUAAACAAAGUUAUAACUAUUACAUUUGAACAUUUUGAUAAACUAUAAUAGGUAUGGUUUACGUUUCUAUUAACACAACAAACACAUUUCGGAAGGUUUUAUUCCCACAGAUAAAGGUUUUACACUCACGCACACCACACAUAAACUUGUUAACUUAAAUCAUGAGACAUUCUUCUCUAUACUCCUAGAGUACCGGUUAAAAUUCCUGGUAGUUAUAACCAGAGUCUCUUGUAGGGAGAACGUGAUAGUUGUGUAUAGAUCUAUAUUGGGUUUGACACCCCACACCUUGCUGCUAGCUACAGUGGGACCUGCAGGUCUACGGUUGACAAAUGUCAUAACAGUUUUCGACGCCUGAUAAACGUCGUGGCAGGUUCAUUAAGUCGUAGUAUGGUUAUAGCGGCUCAUAUAGGGAGUUAACAACACAUAAAGUUUACGGGGAUUUUCAUAAAUCAAAAGGGGUUUUACGUCGAUUUAAAAUCACUUUUUAUAUCAAUAAUUACAGAUAUUAUUGAAUACUUUCGGUCUUGGUAUUUAAGACUACACACCAUUCAUUACGGGAUUUUUCUCAAAUUAGAAAGGGUUUUACGCCAAUUUAAAACCACUUUUAUAUCUUUAAUUAUGACAAAUACUUGUUCAUUCUCGGUCCUGGUAUUUAGGAACACAUAACUUUUAUAAGGAAAAUAUUGGAUUUUUCUUGGAAACAUACAACUCAUUACAAAGAUUGAUUUUCAAACUCUUACUAUCAAAAGCUUAUGAACUCACCAACUUAAUUGUUGACACUUUUUCAAAACUACUUGUAUUCUCAGGAAUUCAAUGAAACAGGAAAUCAACAGCGUUUUGAGGAUGGGACGAUAAAUUGUCAAACAAUUCAUUUUGUCAUCAUAAUGUAAUUGAUUUGAAUCAUGUAAACAUAUGCUUUGGUGUAACUUUUUCAAUUAUAUUUAUGAAUGGUUGUAUUUACUUUGAGCACUAUCAUACUCUUUGUUGUGAUACUAUACAUGAAGUCCGCCACCCCCGGACGUUUCCGCCAUCCUUGGUUUGGGGGUGUGCAUGUAUGCAGUAUAAGGUUUAUGCGUGUGAGUUUGUCAAGUUGGGAAGCCGAGGACCGCCACUGCCACCCCCGUGAGGUGGUGGCUGCCGCCAUGUGUCGCCUGUGUUUUCAUUUUGUUUAGUGUGUGUGUGAUUAUUUUGAGUUUUAGCAUUGUAAUGUGUAAAAUUACAAAUUGGAAUAAUGAAAGGAAAAAUCAAACCACCACCGUGAGGUGGUGGCUGCCGCCUCCUGUCGCCACCGACCGUCGUGUCAUUGGCGGUGUGCCUUAUUGGAUAGUGAAUAGUCUGGGAUGUUUGGACAAGGGACUAAAACCCUAGUGGGCCUUGUAAGCCCUAAUGGGCCCAAUGAAUCUUAAUGGACCUAAAAUCCCAAUCAUGUGACGAAUGGGCUUAGUGAAACCCUAAAGGGCCUAGUGGAAUCAUAAUGAGCCUAAUGAACCUUAAUUGAUCAAAAGACAUAUCAAUUAAACCUAUUGGGCUAAGAUGGGGUUGGAAACCCUAAUUAGGGUUUAGAAAACCCUAAUAUUGGAUUUAUGGGCUUGGACUUAUUGGGACCCACUUUUGGGCCAUUGGAAUGGAAUUAUGUGAUUAAGCCCAAUCACACCAUAUGAAUUAUUUAGAAGAAUGAUGGACUUAAUCGAUUAAGUCCUUAAUGGAUUAAGUCUUUAACGGGUUAAGUGAGAAACACUUAACCCUAAUCGUCAUUUUAUGUGGAAACCCUAAUAUCAGUUAGGUUUUACUGUCGGCCCUUUCUAUUGGGCCUUGAUGAUUAGGUUAUUAAUGGCCCAUCCAAAGUCAAUUAAUUGGACUAGAAUAAUUAAUGGGCUUUGAGGUAAGGCCCAUAUGAGGAGUUGGGCCCAAUUUAGAAAAUUGGGCCAUAGACGGACCACAGUUUGGGCCUUAAUGAUUAUAUGAUGUCGGGCCUUAGAAUAAGACCAUGUAUAGGUCUGGGCCAAAUUUGGAAAAUUGGGCCAUAUGUUGGGCUUUGGCCUGUUAUUUGAUUAUUGGGCUUUUGGAGUGUGAGUUGGACCUUGGGCUUGGAACCCAAUUAUUAAUUGGGUGUUGUUUGAUGUUGACAGCUCGGGAAUCUGUCAACCAGCAGCUGGAGUUUUAUAUGGGGGAGUUCAGAAAUGUCAGGUGAGUUAUCCUAACUAUACUCAAGGGUCUAAGGCACCAAGGCCGACCCUUUGAAUUGUUAUUGGUUGUGUUAUGCUAGUAUGAUCACUAGAUCGGUAUCCUAGAGGGUAGGAUGAUAAUAUGUGAUAUGUGGUAUGACCUGUUAGUUAGACAUCCUAGACGGUAGGAUAAUAUUGUAUGUUAUGUGGUAUGAUCUGGUAGACCAGUUUGUUAUCUAUAGACUGUUAUGUGAUUGUCUGUUAUACGUGCACAUGUUUGUUUGGCGGUUGAGGCUUAUCUGCUUUGUGCGAAAGCCAAUAGACCUGGGCAUUCCAACCUGUUGGUUGUGGGCCGUGAGUAUUCCAUCCCUAGGAUGAUUGGACUCAUAGUAUGUGGGCAUUCCAACCUGUUGGAUGUGGUCCUGGGGUAUUUCAACCUAAUGGUUGAUUGGACCCAUCGUGUGUUGGCAUUCCAACCUGUUGGUUGUGGGCCUGGGGUAUUCCAACCCAAUGGUUGAUUGGACCCAUAGUAUGUUGUUUAUGAUUAUAUGUGUAUUGUUGUGGAUAUGGGUAUUUUGGGGGAAUUCACUAAGCUUUCAGGCUUAUAGUUUCAGUUUAUUAUUUCAGGUGCAUUAGGGGAUCGUGGCAAGGCAAAGGCGUGAUCGCACAACUCCUCAUAGUUCAUGAUUUUAUGAUUUGAUUCUGGGGAUACUCUGAUGAUUAAACUAUUUUGAAAACAAAUUGUAAUAACUUAAUGGUUUUAAAUGUUCUGAAAAGUUUUAAAUUGGCUUGAAUUUUAUGGGUGUUACAGAUUGUUUAUCUAAUCAAAAGUUUUUCCUUUUUAUUUUUCAGAUGUCUGGUUCAAACAACGCUUCUGUUUCGAACUCCAACAACUCCUCAAGCUCUUUUUCUCUUAUGAACAUUUGCACUUGGAUCACCUUCGAUGGAUCCAAUUUCAAUGAUUGGAUUCGUAACAUUUGAAUGGCCUUGCGAUACGAGGAGAAAGAAUACCUCCUCGACAAAGAACUCAAAGGGAUAGAUGAAUCCAAAGCUACUCCUGAAGAAUUGGUUGAGUAUAGGGCUCAUGAAAAGGACACAACAAAGGUGUCGUGUAUUAUGGUGACCACUGUGACUCCUGAGCUACAAUGGUUAUAUGAGGACUACUGUCCUUGCGAUAUGUGCCAAGACUUGAUGGAAAAGUACCAUCAAAGUGCGCGUCAAGAAAGGUACGAUAUUUUUACCUCAUUCAUAACAAACAAAAUGAGGGAUGGAGAGUCCAUCAUGACCCACUUGCAAAGAAUGCAAAGGUAUGUGGAUCGUUUGCUCAAGUUAAAUGUCAACUUUGAUGAAGAGUUGGCUAUUGAUAUAGUUCUACACUCUUUACCUCUUUUCUAUGACCAGUUCAAGAUGACUUAUCAUAUGAGCAAAGAGGAUGUCACUUUGAGCAAACUUCAAGGUUUGUUGAGAACUGCUGAAAGUGGAUUGAAAGGCAAAGGUGUUGAGCCCACUCCUACAGUUGCUGCCCCUGUCCUGGCUAUUGGACAUGGAAAAGGGAAAAAGAGGAAAGCUCCCUCUAAGAACCACAAGGGAAAGUCCCAUGAUGGAUCUUCUUCAAAUGGAUCCAAAGGUAAAACUGUUUCUGCCACUCCCUCUUCCGAUCCUAAAAAAAGCAAUGUGUUUCUACUAUAAUGAAAAGGGGCAUUGGAAAUGAAGUUUCCUGAAAUACUUGCAGGACAUCAAGGAUGGGAAGAUAAAGCCCUCCUUCACAGGUAUUUAUACUAUUCUAUCUAACUACUCAUCGUAUUCUAGUUCUUGGGUCCUUGAUACAUGAUGUGGUUUUCACAUUUGUUCUGAUUUGCAGGGGCUAAAAAGAAGUAGGGAUGUGGAGCAUCGGAAGAUGAACCUAAUAAUGGGGAAUAGGAACAUCGCCUGUCACCAAGAUCGGGGUUUACUCUUUAGUGCUUAGAAGUGGGUUCAGAUUAGAUUUGAACGCUUGUUGCUACUCAUCAGAAAUGACAAGCAAUAUUAUUUCUUUUCAUGGUUUGUAUAGACAAUGCUUUAGAUUUUCAUUUAAUAAUGAAGUUGGUUCUAUUAAUGUUUAUUAUAAUGGUUUAUUUUAUUUUGAAGCAUUGCCUUGUAAUGGUGUAUAUGAAACUGUGAUAGUUUUUGAUAACUUAGGAAAUAAUGUGUUGCAUAUCGAUUCGUCUAAUGGUAUAGACAAGGCAUGCUUGUGGCAUUGUCGUCUUGGAAAUGUCAACAAGAAGUGCAUAGCCCAACUCCAAAAGGAUGGAGCGUUGGAGUCAUUUGACCUAAAAUCAGAUGACACGUAUGAAUCUUGUUUUCUUGGAAAGAUGACUAAAUCACCAUUCACUUGCACUUGUGAAAGAGGUGAUGGAUUGUUGGAUCUCAUACAAGCAAAUGUGUGUGGGCCCUUCAGAUCCACCACAAGGGAUGCUAACUGCAUCUAUGUGACUUUUACCAUCGAUUAUAGCAGAUAUGGAUAUAUCUACUUAAUCAAGCAUAGUUCGGAAACCUUUGAAAACUUCAAAGAGUAUAAGAAAGAAGUGGACAAUCAAUUGGGCUGGAAGAUAAAGAUGCUCAGAUCCGAUAGGGUUGGUGAGUAUCUUAGUAUCGAUUUCCACGACUAUCUUAAGGAAUGUGGAAUUGUUUCACAAUUGACGCCACAUAGGACACCACAGCUUAAUGGUGCGGCUGAGAGGCACAAUCGAACAUUGUUAGACAUGGUUCGUUUGAUGAUGAGUCGCGCUUCACUACCAAUCUCAUUCUAUGGGUAUUCCUUAGAGACUGUCGCUCAUAUCCUUAAUCUAGUCCCAACUAAGAAGGUUGCCAAAACACCUCUCGAGAUGUGGACAGGGAAGGUUCCCUCGUUGACACAUAUCAAGGUUUGGGGUUGUGAAGUUUUUAAAAGACGAGAGACUCAUGACAAGAUUAAACCCUGUAGUGAGUGAUGUAUUUUCGUCGGUUACCCAUAGAAAUCCUUUGGAUAUCGUUUCUACAGACCUAGUGAUAACAUGGUCUUUGUAGCAAGGAGAUGGGUUUUCCGUGAGAGGGAACUUAUAUGCCAAGAGGACAGUGGGAGGAAAAUUGAUCUUGAAGAGAUUCAAGACACAAGUGGUGAAGGAACCUCUAACACUAGCACUCAACCUGAGGAAAAGAUUCUUGUUGAACCGAUUGACGAGUCAUUACCUCUUUGACGUUCCACUCAAGUUAGAAUGGAAUUGGAGUUUUAUGGUUUUCAUAUUACUACGGAAGGUGAUACGUUUAUCAGUGAUAAUACACUAGUAAAUUUGGAUGAGCCUACAAACUACAACGAAGCCAUGACAGACCCUGAGUCUGCAAAAUGGAAAGAGGCAAUGGACAGUGAGAUCCAGUCCAUGUAUGACAAUCAAGUUUGGAACUUGGUUGACAAUGUACCAGGUUGAAAGACAGUUGGAUGCAAAUGGAUCUUCAAGAAAAAGACCGACGUGGAUGGAAAGAUACAUACGUUCAAGGCACGACUAGUUGCGAAGGGCUUUACUCAAACCCCAAGGGUUGACUAUGAUGAGAUCUUCUCACUUGUAACGCCUGUGUUUCCGGGCUUGCCACUUUUAGCAAUGUAAUAGUCUAGGUUAACCUUUGUAACCCGUUUUGAAAUAAUGAGAUUUUAUUAUUUGAGUAUUAUGUGUUUUGUGCUUAAUUGCUUAAUUAUAUGGUUUGAUUAAUUAAGAAUAAAAACAAGCGUCAAAAUUUAAGUGUAAAAUAAAGUUAAUAUAUUUGGUUAAUGUUGUAGUAAUUGAAACGAGGUUUCCGAAUAUAUAUAGAACGCCCAAAUCUGACUUCGUAUGAGGAAGUUAUGAUUUAUCGAAGUUCCGGCUUAGCGGUAUACAGCCUGUUUUACUCGAUUUGAGAUCGAGCGGUUGUUAGCCGAAGCAAUCUAAAUGAGAAUCGAAGAUCUCAUUGUUGGUAUCGAAACGAUAAAAAGUUAGGCGAGAACGGACGUCAAACGAAGAAGUUAUGAAUUUAUAACGAAAGUUUCUGUCCCGGCCUAUUAAAAAUAAUUAAUAAAAAUAAAGUCAAAAUUAGCCGACGGAGUCUAAACGAAAGUCGUAGAGCGUGGUCUCACCUUUCCGUGGAUAUAAAGAACGUCGAAAACGGAGUUCGUAUGAAGAAGUUAUGAAUUUCCGAAGUUUAGUAAUCAUUUUGUAAUUAAAUUUAAAUCAAAAUCGGAAGUCUUAUCCGAAGACGAGUCACCGGUGUGAUCCGGAGUACGCCCCGCAUACGAGGGUACGCUACCGCGUGCUCAGCAUAGUGUCGACACUUCGUAUGACGCAUGCAGUGACGAUUUCGGAAGCAGUACGCGCUGCGUACUGCAGUACGCCCCGCGUACUCCGUGGCUCCAGCCUCUAUAAAAGGGAUCUGAGGGCAGCCGAGAGUUUGUUCAUUUCUUCUCUUCUCUCAAGUCUUUUUCAUCGUUUUGCGUGCCAGAAAUACCCCGAAGCCCCGGUAUUAUACUCUAGCCCCGAGGCAAGUCCCGAGAUCCCGAAGAUCCCGAGAAGUGCGGUUCCCGAGUCGAAGCUCUGCCCGCGAGAAGUUCGAUUUUCGAGGAGAUCUUCCAGAUCUGCUGAGGAAUACUACUUCUAUAAGCCGUAGUGCUGUCGGAUCAUCUUCUGAUCAAGUGAGUGUGUAGUUAUUUUCUUUCUAAUACAAUAAUACGAAGUAUUUUAUAUAAAAAUACGUGCUAUGUGUAUAUAUUUGGUUGUGUUAUGUGUGAAUGAGUAUUCACUCUCUUCUAUCUUAUAGAUCUGCUUAUUUCUUUAUGAGAUAUGUGUUAUGUGUGUGUGUGCCUCAUCUGUUAUGUGAUAUAUGUGUUGAUUAAAGCAUGCUAUACAGGUUUUCUUUAAACUAUGUAUACAAAUGUAUAUUUUUAUCUACUAAUAUGUUGGGUAGAACAUGGGUAGACAGUUGGUGUGUAAUAAACAGAUGAGAGGCCUCGUUGUUGUUUGAUUGAGUCAUCUAGCGGAGUUUAGAUGACGACCACUGGCUAUUCUAGACAGUCUUGUGGAAACAUUAGCAGGUUCGCCACCUGUAGGUGUUAAUGAACUUGGGUGUUCAUUCGCUGUACUCCAUCCCCCUCAUGGUUGCCUUAUUUGACUUAUAUUGCUGAGGUACCCCCGAAGCAUGUGUUGUCGCCCCGAUGAAAUAUUCUUAGACUAGGUCCCUUAUGUUAGUUGUUUUAGGGACAUUAAAGUGAGAAUAACGGGAAUGGGUAAUUGGGUUAUUGUUGGUUGGUGAAAAUUAAAUAUGAUAUUUAUUGUGGGUUGAAAACCCUAUAUGCUCACCAGGCUCCCAAGCCUGACCCACUCAGUUUUAAAUUGUAUUACAGGUAGUGGCGGAAGGGCAUGAGAUGGAUGAACCAUCAAGUUGUUUUGUUUACAAGUCUGCAUAUGUUUAUAUUUGUUAUAUGACUUGUAAUGUAUUCGUUUAUGCUUAUUGGUCUGUAUCGGAACAUGACACCCCGAGUUUUGAUUAUAAUGAAAAUACAUUUCUUUUAUGAAAUGCUUCGGUAAACAAUGUUUUAUCAUGUUUUGUUUUUGGGAACAAAUUCCGCAACUCUUUCAAAUCAAAAGGAUUUACUCUGAAAAUAUUUAAAAGCAUAAAUGAAAAUCGGUCUUUUCUGGCCGAGAUUUUGGGGAUGUCACAGUUGGUAUCAGAGCAUUAGUUUAAGCGAACUAGGAAUUUGUAGGAUUUCUAGACUUAAACUUAGAAUGCUAAGUGAAGUUUUGAGAUGUGUGUCUGUUGUGAUUUAGACACGAGCACUAGUUUAUUUUAGGAAAGUUGCCUAAAAUGCUUUAUGUGCUAAAUGUUAUAUGUUGCCAUAUAUGAUAUUAUUUGUUCGGAUCUAUGGUCUGUUGCCGACCGGAUCUAGAAACCUUAUGUGUGUAGGAUUCUAAGCGUACGUCUACGAUAUUAGAACUAGCAUGUAAACGUUUCGGAGUGAUAAGGAUGAUUUGAAUAUCUAUCAUGAUUGAGGAUCUAAUUUCACCUUAUUCGGUGUAGAUCAAAAUGGUGAGAACAAGAAGUGGAGUUGGAAAUGCUGACGAAAACAGGAAUCAACCACCAGUGAUUGAGCCAAUACCUGUCGUAGCAGCAGCACCUGAGCCAAUAACCAUGGCUGGUGUGCAAUUGAUGAUUCAGACGAUGUUGGAUCGUCAGAUGGAUGAAACUAGACGGUUGCUUCAACAAAAUCGUGAAGAACUGUCGAUUCGUGUGGAAGAGCCUGAACUGAAUGAAGGGCACUCGGAAGGUGGAAACUUCAGUGGGUCUGUUGGUCCAGCCAACCCACCGAUAGUUAGGCAAGAUAACCAUGAUGGAAGGAAUGAUGGAAUGGGAUGCAAGUACAAGGACUUUUUGACUUGUAAACCAUCGACCUUCAAUGGAAAGGAGGAUCCGAUUGGGGUUAUGGAUUGGAUCUCCGAAAUGGAGUUAGCCUUUAUGACAUGUGGCUGUAGAGGCAAGUUGCAGACUAUCUAUGCCGUGCGACAAUUCCGAGGUGGAGCCGUUCGUUGGUGGAACACUCUAGGGAAGACCUUAAGCCCUAAUGAGCCACUGCAAUUGUCAUGGGCAGAGUUCUUGGUGCAGUUCAAGCGCAAGUUCUGCUCGGCUCAAAAUCUGUUGGAGUUGGAGAACAAGUUUUUGACAUUGACGAAGGGUAGCAUGUCAGUGGAUGAGUACACCAAUAACUUCACCGAUAAGAUGGAGUUUGCCUUGCGUAUCGUUCCAGACGAGCUGACAAAGGUGGAUCGGUAUGCGAAGGGACUUCCAUGGGAGUACGAGGUGCCGGUACGUCAGGCACUUACUCUAGAGGCAGCUAUCUGGGCUGCCAAGUCUGUGGAGAACAUGAUCAAGGGGAGAACCACCGUCAAGGUUGAGGUUGGUGAGAAAAGGAAGUUUGAAGGAACAUCUGGUUCCAGUAAGAAGAGCAAAUUUUCGAAAUCUGAUUCGAAAAAGUUUGGAGGAAAAGGAGGCGAAGCAAAGUGGUGUGAUAAGUGUAAGAAAAAGCACUUUGGGAAAUGUAGCGAGGAUGUGACCUGCUACAAGUGUGGAAAGGUUGGACAUUUUGCCAAUGAAUGUCCGAACAACAAAAGGAUGUGUUUUGGGUGUAAUGAAGAGGGGCAUAUUUUGAAAGACUGUCCGAAGAAGAAGGAGGCAGCUAGGCCCAACAUUCCACCAAAGCCGAAGGCGAGAGCCUUCCAGAUGACACUUGAGGCUGCGAAAGAUGAAGCUGAUGUCGCUUCAGGUACCUUUCUCGUAAACGAAUUACCUGCUCAUAUAUUGUUUGAUUCUGGAGCCAACUACUCCUUUAUUUCGCAUGAGUUUGGUAGAAAGCUAGCUUUGCCUGUUGAUAGACUAGAUAAUGCUUUAUUAGUCGAAGUAGCUAGUGGCAAGUUUGUACCUGUUAGCCAUCGUAUGAAAAACGUCUUGAUCGACCUUAAUGGGAAUAAGUUUCUCGAGGAAUUAUUGCCUAUCGAACUAAAUGGUUUCGACAUCGU